AAGAACUGAGCCACCAGAUGAAACCCUUGGUCAAAUAAGCUAGAAAGACCAAAGUUAAGUCUGACAUCUGUGAAACGCGCGGACAUGAAGGCCCCCAUCUACAUGAAGAUUGAUCAUCGUCCUGUAGGUGACACAUUUAUUCUCAUCACUCAGUUUGAACACAAAGCAGUGCACCAGGACAGCCGAGAAGAUCUUCAUCUGCCUAUAAGCAAAUUCCUUGCCUAAACAUAUUCGAGGCCCUGCCUGUAAACCAUUAGAAAAUAAAGUUCAGUAUGUUAACACCUUUAGCCGAUAAAGUCACACUUGUGAAACAAUAUGAGAGGUUUGAACUUUCAGAAAAAGACUCAGAACCAGAAUCAAAUGCUGUUAUACUGCCUUUUUACCCUCUUUUUUUCUAUUUGAGGUUUUAUUUUACACCAAGUGCCAAUCAGAAUAAAAAUGCUUUGCCCGAUCUGCAAAAGAAGCAUACAACAAUUUCUAAUUUGCAACAUGUUCUGCAUACCUGGAAUGCUGUAAACUUAAAAGGGCUUUCUGAUUGGAACAUCCCAUCCUCAUCAAGCCAUCUCUCUGGUUUGAACUCCUCUGCAUCAUCACCCCAAAUGAAUUGCAUUCUGCCCAUUGCAUAAGGUUGAUAACAAACCAUAUCCCCUUUCCUCACACUGAACCCAUCUGGUAGAGUAUCAUCAGAGAAGCAUACCUUUGCAUCCUGCAAUCAAUGUGAAGAGAUAGUGAGAACCAAAGAACAAGGAAGCUAAUUUCUAACCUUCCAGAUACGCAUUAAAUGGAUAUCAGUUUAUAGAUGCAUGUUCUUGGAUGUACAUUAACAAGUUCAGUUGGAGGAUUCAAGAUUCAAGGCAACUUUGCUUACAACUGGAACAGCGGGGUAGAGCCUUAAUGUUUCAGUUAUGGCUGCAUGGAGAUAGUGCAUUUUUCCUAAAGCUUCUUCGCUCAAGAUAGCAGCAAAUUCAGCAUAAUCUUUAACAUCUUUCGUGUCAGUUGCUUCCUUCACUUCUUGUGCAACCUUUUCUUGAACAUCAGGAUGCUUGCAGAGCAUGUAAAUAAACCACGACAGAGUAGCUGCCGUUGUGUCUUUCCCAGCAAUUAUGAAGUUAAGGAUUAUAUCUCGCAAGUAUGUUGGAUCAGUGUCACUCACUUGUAGAAAUCUGGAUAAAAUGUCUUCCUUUUUCAUCUGCAUAAUCUGUAGAAAAUAAUAAUUUCAAUAUUCCACUUCAACAGGUAAUAUAAGUUGUUAACUAUAAGUAGCUCUACUGUUCUAGUUCACUCACUGAAGAUUCAUCCUUUGAGUUGCGCAUUUGCUCAAUCUUGUUGUGGAUCAGCUUAUACACAAAAUUAUCAACCACUUCUAUACUUUUCUUCAGUGUGGCCUCUGAUCCAAUAUUUAGAAAUCUUUUGAUCUUCCAGAAGAUAUCAACAUAUCGGAAGAGGAUUGCUGCACUUGAAUCAUCAAAAGCAGCUGUAAACUGUUUGCCUUCUAAAUUUGAUCCACACAUGCUGUCUAGUUCGACUCCAAAUGCAACUUUGAAUAUUGAAUCUAAAGUCGAUUUCAUAAACAAGUCCUGCACAAUAUAUCGUUAUAACAGAUUCAUUUUAUAUAUCACUCUGCCAUUGAUCUUGCCAUUAGGUGAACUUACCUGUAUAUCCAUUAUCUCAUUGGAAUUUGCUGCUUCAGACACUAUAGUCGCAAGUUUUGCCGCAUUUUCCCGAAAGACUACACUGCUGAAAUCUCUCAAGACCUUGGUUGAGAAUUCAUAGCUUGAUACUUUCCUCUGUUGACGCCACUUAUCACCAUCGACAGUGAAAAUCCCAUCGCCUAGUAAACCCUUUAGCAAGCUGUAAUUGUACUCACCCUGCACAAAAAAUUAAACAGAUUGGAAAACCAAAACAACUCCACCAUUCUGCCUUUUGGGUGGCCAUAUAAUUAUCAAAAGCCCUUUCAUUCCAACUAAUCACUCUGCGGCACAUUAGCAUCUUCAAUUGACUUACUUGUGGCGAGAUUGAGACCCUUUUCUUAAUCUAAUUAUGGGUGUUUCUGUCUAGGCUACUUAUACUAACCAAUCACCGGGAGAGUUCAGAAUUUUCUAGACCAACAAAUUAUUUGUGACUUUGAGGUGUGAAACGAGAGUCGGCACCAUACCUUGCCAUAAUUCUGGAAAUUUGUUUUGAGAAUAUACUCAACAUUGUCGGGUUCCGAGGUAUAAAUCUCAUUCCUGAAAGGGCUAAGCAGCCUGUAGGUCCUGUACUUCCCUGCAAGAUCAGUCAUAUAGUGAUGCAAUCUUCUGAAGUUGAGGAGCUGGUUAAAAACCGUUCCGCCAACAGGAUGGUACUUGGCCUUAUUUUUCCUCUGCCUUUCUCUUAGUUUUGCUGUGAGGAACUUGACAGUGAAAAGGGCAAGGAUUAGACUUAGAACCAAAGCUACCAAGGGAACUGGGUUAGACAGAUCCAUGGACAUGGAGGUACGUUUGGGUAAGCUGGUCUAUCAAUGUUAGGUGAAGGCUGUAUUAAACUAGAGAAGUCGGUUUUGUAAUACUAAUAAUAUCAACGGAGAGAAGUCCUUCUGCUAAGUCAUUCCUCUCAACCAAACGUGUCAUAACCUAAUUGGACGACAUUCGGACAAGCCCUAAACGUGGUUCUCUCGAAUUUCACAAGGUGAUCUUUUUGAAAAUUGGUAAAAAAUUACUAAUAAACUUCACCACAGCCAAGUAACAAAACAAAGGGCCAUACUUGUUAUUUCCUUAGUUAUGAUGAUAAAGAACAUACAAAUCUCUUCUAAUUGGUUAUUCUAUAGUUAAGUAAAGAGAAUGAUUUUUGAAUUUAAUUCUUAAAUAAGAAAAUACGUGUAUUUAUCAUGUUAAAUUUAAUACUCAAAUGAAAAAUUAAUUAGAAUUUUAUUUCGGAGCAUAUGAUACAAUCAAGUAACUUAAGUACAAAGAUGAUUAAGCUUGGCAAACAAGGAUAUGUCAUGUUUCUCAAUCCGAGAGAUAAGAAGCACAGAGCCAAAGGCCCUGCAAAAAGGCAGGGGAGAACUGAAUUGUUGUUUCCUAAAACUUUGCAUUAAGAUCAACAUGACUUUCUAGUCAUUAAAUAUUCUGCUAGAUUUCGAACUUGCAAAUAUGGUCUGUUUUAAUGAAAUUGCAGAAUGUUGUCUCACGUCUCAAGAACUUUGAUUUCACUUCUUUUUCAAGGAAAAAAAAAUGGUUUCACUUAGUUUGCAGAAGUGUCCUGAACUCAAUUUUCAGACAAAAGUAUGGUUCAAGACUCCUUGGUGAGUGAAAGUAAUUCUUCAUCAUAUUUAUUCCUUUAUUUUUCUUUUUGGAUAUCAUUGUAUUUAUUCUUGUGCAAGGACAAGUACAUGCAUACUCAAACCUUGCAAUUGCCCAGCAUACAGAACUGAGCCAACAGAUGAAACCCGUGGUCAAAUAGGCAAGAAAGACUAAGUCUGACAUCUGGGAAAUGCGCGGACAUGAAGGCCCCCAUCUACAUGAAGAGUGAUCAUCGUCCUGUAGGUGACAGAUUUAUUCUCAUCACUCAGUUUGAACACAAAGUAGUGCACAAGAACAGCCGAGAAGAUCUUCAUCUGCCUAUAAGCAAAUUCCUUGCCUAAACAAAUUCGAGGCCCUGCCUGUAAACCAUUAGAAAAUAAAGUUCAGUAUGUUCACAUCUUUAGCCGGUGAAAUCACACUUGUGAAACAAUAUGAGAAGUUUGAACUUUCGGAAAAAGACCCAGAACCAGAAAUCAAAUGCCGUUAUACUGAUUUUUUACCCUUUUUUCCUAUUUGAGGUUUUAUUUUACACCAAGUGCCAAUCAGAAUAAUAAUGCUUUGGCCGAUCUGGAAACGAAGCGUACAAGAAUUUCUAAUUUGUAGUAUGUUCUGCACACCUGGAAUGCUGUAAACUUAAAAGGGCUUUCUGGUUGGAACAUCCCAUCCUCAUCAAGCCAUCUCUCUGGUCUGAACUCCUCUGCAUCAUCACCCCAUAUGAAUUUCAUUCUGCCCAUUGCAUAAGGUUGAUAACAAACCAUAUCUCCUUUCCUCACACUGAACCCAUCUGGAAGAGUAUCAUCAGAAAAGCAUAUCUUUGGAUCCUGCAAUCAAAGUGAAGAGGUAGUGAGAACCAAAGAAAACCCCAGAACAUAGAAAGGAAGCUAAUUUCUAGCCUUCCCGAUACGCCUUGAAUGGAUAUCAGUUUAUAGAUGCAUGUUCUUUGAUGUGCAUUAACAAGUUCAGUUGGAGGAUUCAAGAUUCAAGGCAACUUUGCUUACAACUGGAACAGCGGGGUAGAGCCUUAAUGUUUCAGUUAAGGCUGCAUGGAGAUAGUGCAUUUUUCCUAGAGCUUCUUCGCUCAAGAUAGCAGCAAAUUCAGCAAAAUCUUUAACCUCCAUCGUGUCAGUUGCUUCCUUCACUUCUUGUGCAACCUUUUCUUGAACAUCAGGAUGCUUGCAGAGCAUGUAAAUAAACCACGACAGAGUAGCUGCUGUUGUGUCUUUCCCAGCAAUUAUGAAGUUAAGGAUUAUAUCUCGCACGUAUGUUGGGUCAGUGUCAUUCAAUUGCAGAAAUCUGGAUAAAAUGUCUUCCUUUUUCAUCUGCACAAUCCGUAGAAUACAAUUAUUUCAAAAUUCUACAUAGAAACCGUUAAUUAUAAGUAGCUCUAUUCUUCUAGUUCACUCACAGAAGAAUCGUUCGAGUUACGCAUCUGCUCAAUCUUGUUGUGGAUCAGCUUAUACACAAAAUUAUCAACCACUUUUGUACUUUUCUUUAGUUUUGCUUCUGAUCCAAUAUUUAAAAAUCUCUUGAUCUUCCAGAAGAUAUCAACAUAUCGGAAGAGGAUUGCUGCGCUUGAAUCAUCAAAAGCAGCUGUAAACUCUUUGCCUUCUAAAUUUGAUCCACACACGCUGUCUAGUUCAACUCCAAAUCCAACUUUGAAUAUCGAAUCUAAAGUCGAUUUCAUAAACAAGUCCUGCACAACAUUUCGCUAUAACAGGUUCAUAUUAUAUAUCACUCCGUCAUGGAUCUUGCCAUUAGGUGAACUUACCUGAAUAUCCAUUAUCUUGUUGGACUUCGCUGCGUCAGACACUAUAUUUGCAAGCUUUGCUGCAUUUUUCCGAAAGACUACAGUGCUGAAAUCCCUCAACACCUUCGUUGAGAAUUCAUAGCUUGACACUUUCCUCUGUUGACGCCACUUAUCACCAUCGACUGCGAAAAUCCCAUCACCUAGUAAACCCUUUAGCAAGCUGUAAUUGUACUCACCCUGCACAGAAAAUUAGACAAAUUGAAAAACCAAAACGACCCCACCAUUCUGCCGUAGCCAUAUAAUUAUCAAAAACUCUUUCGUUAUAGCAAAUAACCCUGCAGCACAUUAGCAUUUGUAGUUGACUUAAUUGUGACUAUAGAUUGAGACACUCUUUCAUAUUCUAAUUCUGGGUGUUACUGUCUAAGCUACUUCUUCCAACCAAUGACAGGGGGAGUUCAAAAUUUUCUAGACCAACAAAUUACCUUGCCAUAAUUCUGGAAAUUUGUUUUGAGAAUAUAUUCAACGUUGUCUGGUUCCGAGGUAUAAACCUCACUCCUGAAAGGGCUAAGCAGCCUGUAGUUCCUGUACUUCCCAGCAAGAUCAGUCAUAUAGUGAUGCACUCUUUUGAAGUUGAGGAGCUGGUUAAAAAGUGUUCCGCCAACAGGAUGGUACUUGGUCUUGUUUUUUUUCUGCUUUUCUCUUAGUUUUGCUGCGAGGAACUUGACAGUGAAAAGGAUCAGGAUUAGAUUUAGAAACAAAGCGACCAAUGUAGCUGGGUUAGACAGAUCCAUGGAGAUGGAGGUCCUUUUUGGGUAAGCUGGUCGAUCAAUGUUAGCGGGUGAAGACUGAAGAAAACUAGAGGUCUUUUUAUAAUACUAAUAAUAUCAACGGGGAGAAAUCCUUUUGCUAAGUCAUUUCUCUUAACCAGACGUGUGACUAUAUUCGGACAAUCCGCAAACGUGUUUCUCUUAAAUUUUACGUGCACAUUGCUGAGAGUCCAACCAUGAGAGAGAUAUGCACCGACUUUCCUUCGUUGUCUCCUUUUUCGUUUUUAAAUUGUUAUAAGUUAUUAACUAAUUUCACCACAACCAAUUAACAAAACAAAGGGCAGGACUAGGUUUUUUUUUACUCAGUCAAUAUAACUAUUUAGAGAAAAUUGUGAAAAAUAACUCAUAAGGUGAUUUCAAAAAUAAUUAUCCAUAUAAUGUUAUCUGUUUUUACCAAAAAACAAACAUGAGUAAACCAAAAUGCUCUCAGAAACAUCCUGGCAAAUCAAUCUCCUAAUAUCUCUCUCGCUGUAAAGAAAAUAAAUACUCAGUUAUUUCAGCUCGCUCAACUCUUUCAGCUCUCUAAAUUAUAUCAGCUUUGUCAACUCUCUGUUAAGUACCAUCGUCAUCAACUCUCUUAGCUAUUUGAACUGUAUCAUCUAUAUGUACUUAUUAAAGAUAUAAAUUAAAGAAUAUAAAAGAAAACGAAGUAAAUGAAUAAUUGAAAAGACAAGUCGAGCCACUAAUUACUACAAUGAUCACUGUCUGAUCACGACAGCUAAAGCCACUGCAAUUGCUCGGCCAAUAAAGUUGACAAACUUUGUUGAAAUAGGACUUGCAUUGAAAAUCACGUCAGUUCAUACUAUCUUAGGAUCAUAUGUGACCAUUUUGUAUAAGCUAGCUUUCUUUCAAAUUAUGAUAACUAUGCAUUUAAUGAAUGAUUUAUAUGAUGAUUAGUAUGCAUUCUUAGGCCUAGCUACUGUUCAAAACUUAGUUGUUAAGUUUUGUUAUGUAUAUAAACUAAGUCAAUGCAUAUCAGAAAUAUGAAACCUACUGUUACAACAAAAACUGUCUUUACUUGCUCUGUUUCAUACUUAUCCUACAUCAACUAAAACACAACAAAACUUACUAAAUAAAGCAAUCUAUAUACCAACAAUGUCUUGGAAUUUAGCAAGUUUUAGUUUGUCCUCUUGGAAUGACAUAGAGGUCGAGGCCAUGCUGGAGGGUGAAGCCACAACAUGGUCCUAUCGUCUGCCAAGUUGAAGCGAAAGUAGUGAAUAAGGGAACUUUGUUGAGAUUUUCUUUAUCUGCUCAGAAGAAAUUAAGAAAAAAUUAUAUGGUGUAGAUACUUGAUUUUGAUUUUGAUUGUUAACAUAUUUCUUCAAUAUAAAGUAAAAUUAAUUUAUAAAACGUUGUAUUACUAUGUAAGAAGUAGUGUAGAUAAUUUAUAAUAAGUAGAAAAAUCACGUCAUUGUAUAAACUAGUGAAAAUAUCUUCGAAAUAAAUGAUGAGAUUUUUAAAUUAAUUUUUUUAAAAUGUUUUGAAGAGUUUGAUUUGAUAACUUAAAUACAUAAAUGAAAAUUUUCUAAAUACGUAUGCAUAAAAUCCACUAUCACCAUCAAUGACCUAAACAUUCAUAAGGCUUUAAUGCCUCAACAGUUGACAUUUUCUCAUUGGUAUGAAUAAAUUUCAUUAAUUACAAGAUUACUCAAUUCCAUAACCCUUCAAGAUAUUUUCUCAUUGAUUGUGUUCGAUUUGAUAAGGAUGUUAAUUUUUUUUUUUGAAUUACAAAUAUUUUUCAUUUUUUUAAAUAAUUAAGUGACGCACUUCUAAUGCCUCAGUAGCUGACAUUAAUUAUCCAUUGGUUGCAUUCACUUUGAUUCGGAGCUAAUUAACAACCGAAAAGUUGGCCGAUGUUUGCCGACUUGGAUUUAAUGGUCAUAUGAGUUGGUGUAACAAUGUGAUACCAAAAAGGUAGUAAUCAAUACAAAUUUUGAGUAGGAAGAGUACUGCAUUCAAAUGAAAUCAAGAAGAAGAUUGUGGAGAAAACUCUCAUUUAAUGGAAGAACAUGACUGCCAAAUACGAGUACCUAAACAUGGUUUGGCAAUUGCCAUCAUCCUAUGCAUCCCUAGGUUACUUAACUGAUUGAUGUAAUUCAUUGAAUAAAAUGGUUAGUUGUUAUUAUCAUGUCAUGUCAUCGUCAUGAUAUUUCUUCCUCUUUUGUGAGUAAUGAGAUUUUUGAAGGAUGGAGAUGACUCUACCUAAAUUCUUAGAUUUUUUUGUUGCUUAUUUUCAUUGUAUUUUGAGUUUUUGACUGUGUCUAACUGUUUAUCUUUUGCAAAGCCAUUUUUUCACCUUAAUUUCAACCCAGCAUCUGUGUGUUGUCCGAUGGGUUAGAAAAUGGGCAAGUUUGAUUGGUGGUUGAUUCCUUUUCUUCAGCAUUUUGGUAACUUGGGCCUAUAAAAUUUAUUUAUAGUAGACAAAAAAAAACUUUUAUUAAAAAAUAUUAUAGUAAAUAUUUGUUUCUUUUCGGAUAAUUGACUUUUAUUUAGCUAAGGAAUAUUUUAUUUGAAAUAUGUCCCAUAUAUACCACUGAAAAUCCAAGGCUUUUUAUGGUUAUUCAUUCUUAAUGGCAUUUCUACUAAAUGCUUUCUAAGAAUCAGAACGCAUGGUGUAUGUCCUACAAUACAAAUGGUGAUAACCUUUGUUUUUGGUGUUACAGCCAUGGAGGAAAAGAGUGAUGAUAUUUUAUUUUCUUGUCACUUCAUACGGUCCAUGGAGGAAAUGUGGAUAGAUCGAAGAUAAGUAAAUCAAGAUUCACAGACUGUGAAAGCGUAUUAAAAGAUGAGAACUUUUUGACUUGGAUUUUUUUUAAUAAAAGUUCUUUGCUUGGAUUUUUUUUUAGUAAAAAUUCUUUGCUUGGAUUUAAGAGAUGAGAUUCAAAGAACUUUUAAGAGAUGCAGCAAACAACCUCAAAAUCCAAGCUCUUUGCUUGUAAGCUUCCUAGCCACUUGUAAACAGAAAAUACGGCUUCUAUGGAGUCCCAAUCUCGGGAAAUGGUCAGGGCAUAUAGACCAGAUGACUCGAAUUGUACAUAUAUUUUUUUCUUUUUUGGUGAAAUAACUCAAAUUCCAUUGAUCAACACAUUUACAGAAAAAAGCAAAUCAACACUAUAGAAAAAUGCAAAUCGGGGCUCUUAUGUACAACCAGCAAGGUUGAAGACUUGAAGUUGAACAAAUUGAUGACUUUGCACAGGAGGAUAUUUGGAAAUUCAUCAACUUGUCCUUGGAACAGCAUAAAGAUGGAGGCCCCCCUUCAUAUGAAGUGUGAACAUUGUCCUGUAAGUUGCAAUUUUCGUAUAAUCAACUAAUUUAAAGCGGAAGAAGCGAAGAAGGGCAAUUGAGACUAUCUUCAUCUACCGGUGAGCAAAAUCCUUGCCUAAGCAAGUUCGAGGACCCGCCUGAAACAUAAUGCAGCAGCUGGAAAAGAUUAAGAUCGUUUGACAACUAUAUAGGCACAUGCAUGUUAUACACAUGGUAGAAAUGGAACAAAGAAUACUAACAUGAAAUGCUAUGAAUUUGAAAGGGGAUUCGGACUGGAAAACUCCAUUGUUAAGCCAUCUUUCUGGUCGAAAAGUGUCGGCAUCUUCUCCCCAAAUGUCAGGCAUUCUACGCAUGGCGUAGGCCAUGUAAUACACCCCGUCUCCUUUCUUGAGUUUGUAGCCAUCGGGGAGAAUGUCAUCCUGCUCUGCAUUCCUUCCAUCCUUGAAGCACAAAGUGAGAACCAUAUCAUAUUCCAGCUGUCGAAAUGCUAAGACUGCAAGAAAAUCUAUGAGUGUCUCAGGCACCUUACAAUGGCGACAGCAGGGUACAGCCUUAAGGUCUCUGUUAUGGCUGCAUGAAGAUAGUGCAUUUGCUCUAGGGUUGAAUCAGUUAUGGUUGUCACGAAAUCAUCAACAUUAUUAGCACCAUUUCUUUUACUACUAGUGACGUCCACCACUUCUUGUGCAAGUUUUUCUUGUAUCAAAGGGUUCUUGCAGAGCAUGUAGAAGAACCAGGACAGAGUAUUCGCAGAAGAAUCUUUGCCAGCGAGUACGAAGUUCAGGAUUAUAUCCCUUAAAUAUUUGUCAUUCAUUGUGUCUGGAUUCUUCUCGCUUUCCACUAAAAAUCUUGAAAGUAUGUCUUCUUUCACAUUCUUGAAGCCAUAAAAAGAAAUAAGAAAAAACAAACCAAUUAUUAGUAAAGUAUAAAUUUCCACGCCAAAAACCAGAUUACCUUAAGCAGUGAGAUUGAAUUCAACAGUGUUCUUGUGACUCUCAAGUCCCACCAUAUUUGUUAGACCAAGAUUGACUAUAAGAAAUUCUUGCAGCAAAAUAUAUAUGGCUCACCAAAUCUCGUUCCAUGCCCAGCAGUUUCCUCUUGGAGCUAAUGACAUCGUGAACAAAGUAUCAACGACUUUGAUAUUCUUUCUGAGGGCAGCUUCAGAGCCAAUGUUAAGAGACCGUUUCAGCUUCCAGAAAGGGUCAACAAAGCGCCUCUCAUUUGAAUCAUCAAAAGCCUUCAUAAAAGUAGUCCCUUCCUUACUUGACCCAUCCAUGCAGUUUAAAUCUAUGCCAAACCCAACUUUGAAUAUGGAAUCUAGAGUGCAUGUCAUUAAUAGAUUCUACAAAUUAAAGUAAACACAGCAUGAAAAACUGAAAAAGGGAAAAUUAGACAAGCAUAAUUGUGAGCAUCUUUAAAGUUUUGGGUUAAUUUGAGGGUCAGAUUUCUCACUUGCAUGUCAAAAGCUUGACCCGACACUUCCAGCUUCGAAAUAACUCCAACCAGUUUGGCAGCGUUCCUUCUGAAAACAGAGCAGCUAAAAUAUUUAAGAACUCUCGUCGAGAACUCGAAGCUUGCCAGCUUCCGCUGCUUCCGCCACUUGUCUCCGUCCACCGCAAAGAUCCCUUGUCCAAAAAGAUCUAUCAGAAUUUCUUGGUUUUGUUUACCCUUACAGUAUCUGUCGAACUUUGUUUUCAAUAUGUACUCUACAUUUCGCGUAUCGACGGUGUAUACUACGCUUAGCCCUAAAGCGAGUUGCCUGUAAGUGGGCUGUUUUUUGGCCGCUUGGGUUUGGUAGUCGUAGAGAUAGUUGAAAUAAAACAACUGGUUGAAAACGCUGCCCUUCACCGGUGGGUUGUCAGGAUUUCCGAUGGAUUUUCCGGUGAAGAUUUUGAUUGUGAGAAAAGAGAAGAUCAGGAAGAGAAUGAGUGGUGGUAAUGACAUCAACAAGAAGAUGGUAGAGAGAAUAUCCAUUUUUCCUUUUUCUAAUGAAUACUCGGAAAGGUUAUAGGCCAUAUAUGCAGAUUCUUGCAUUGGGUUGCAUUCAUUUUUCAACCUACCAACAAAAUCAAACCGUUUUCAUCACCAAUAUCUUUCUCAACAACAAAAUCAUUUGUUUAAUAAUUAUAAUGUUUACACGUGUACGAUUGCCAUUUCAUCAAUUUGAUUUUUCUUGUAAAUUAAGUUGAUGCCACCAUAUCUCAUACUUCAAAAAUUUUAGAGGAUUGUACGGAUAAUCAUAAAUUUAUAAUCAUAAUUAUAAUCUAUUUAACUUCUAAAGUGAAUUAACAUAUAUAACUUUAAUCAAGUAAGCAUGAAAAAAGUGUAUCAUUUAAGUUUGGGUCUUGUUUACGAAUAUUCUAAGAGUUUUUUUAUCGUUAAUUAAAAUAUUAUAAUAAUAUUUUUCUUUUAAAUGUCGUAAUUGACUGGUAGUGCGAUGAUUUUCAAUAUAUCUAAAAUGAUAUUACUCAAUAUAAUAACUUUAAAUAAUAUCAUUAUAACAAUAGUUAGUAAAAGUCAUAAUAUUCAAAAAAGCUUUUAAAUUAUUCAAAAAAUUUAAAAUAAAUCUUACUUUUAUUAUAUUCAAUUAUAUUUUUAUAUUUUUAUUUUAGAUCAAAUAAAUCUUUUAUUUUUAUUUUGAAUCAAAUAAAUCUUUAUAAAUAAUAAUUGACUUAGUUAAAAUGUUAUUUGUCAUUAUAUAUUACGUGACGCUGAUGUAGUAUACUAACAUAUCAUAAUUAAUGAUGAUGUGAUAUGUUGAUUUAUCAUAUUUGAUAAUGAUAUGACAUGCUAGUUUAACCUAAUAACAUGAUGACAUUUUUCAAUCUCUACAUUAAUAUCAUAUUAGUGCCACGUGGAUAUAAAAUGAUAAAAUAUAUUUUGACUAAUGAAAAUUAGUCAAUUAUUAUUAAUAAAAGCUUAUUUGAUCUAAAAUAAAAAUAUAGAGACUUGAUUAAGCGUAACAAAAGAAUAAAAAUUUAUUCGAAUUUUGUUAAAUAGUUUCAGAGCUUAUUUGAGAAAUAUGUGUUAGUAAAACCAUUUAUAUUUAAAUUUUUAUUUUAUUUUUUGAAAAGUAAUUUGUCAUAAACGGAAUAAUGACAUGGCUAUAGAUUAAGCUAGGCUAUAAACUUAUUUCAGCCUUAAAUGAUUAACAAUGAAUAAGGUGCGUCCCCUCUCAAGAAACCCCUAUACAAUAGUUAGGAUAAACCCUUAAAGGAUGGACCUCAGGACCGGGGGCAGCUCAAGUACCUCUUGUGACGACAUGAUAUUCAUUGAAGACUAUUUGGACUUCAAGCGUGUUCAUCCAUUGACAUUGGCAAUUAGUUUCUGCUGGCAUGAACCGUAUGGCGACCACUUGUAUGAUUGUGAUAUAUCAUGCUGUUGAGUGCGAGCUCAACUUUGUUGAAGUACAUUGGUGUCCUUGGUUUUGUUGAAUUCUGACAAUAGACAUCCCAUACCCAAUUCAUAGCAUACAUAUGGCUUUUAUCUUUGUUUAAAUUGAAUUAAGAACAUCCGGAUUCAUUUCAUACUCAUAAGAUCUUAAGAUGAUCAAGAUUUGCACUUAACGGAAGCAAAACUGGCCUGAACUCAAUAUUCAGACAAAAGUAUGGUUCUAGACUCUUUGGUCAGUGAAAGCAACCAUCCAUCAUAUCGAUUCCUUUCGUCCUUUUUGCUUGGUGACAUCAUCCGAUUUACUCAUGUGCAAGGAAAGAUACAAGUAUAUUAACAGUGUGCAUUUGCCUAGUAUAAAGAACUGAGCCACCAGAUGAAACCCUUGGUCAAAUAAGCUAGAAAGACCAAAGUUAAGUCUGACAUCUGUGAAGUGCGCGGACAUGAAGGCCCCCAUCUACAUGAAGAUUGAUCAUCGUCCUGUAGGUGACACAUUUAUUCUCAUCACUCAGUUUGAACGCAAAGCAGUGCACCAGAACAGCUGAGAAGAUCUUCAUCUGCCUAUAAGCAAAUUCCUUGCCUAAACAAAUUCGAGGCCCUGCCUGUAAACCAUUAGAAAAUAAAGUUCAGUAUCUUCACAUCUUUAGCCGGUAAAAUCACACUUGUGAAACAAUAUGAGAGGUUUGAACUUUCAGAAAAAGACUCAGAACCAGAAUCAAAUGCUGUUAUGCUGCUUUUUUACCAUUUUUUUUCUAUUUGAGGUCUUUUUUUACACCAAGUGCCAAUCAGAAUAAAAAUGCUUUGCCCGAUCUGCAAAAGAAGCAUACAACAAUUUCUAAUUUGCAACAUGUUCUGCAUACCUGGAAUGCUGUAAACUUAAAAGGGCUUUCUGGUUGGAACAUCCCCUCCUCAUCAAGGCAUCUCUCUGGUCUGAACUCCUCUGCAUCAUCACCCCAAAUGAAUUUCAUUCUGCCCAUUGCAUAAGGUUCAUAACAAACCAUAUCUCCUUUCCUCACACUGAACCCAUCUGGAAGAGUUUCAUCAGACAAGCAUAUCUUUGCAUCCUGCAAUCAAAGUGAAGAGGUAGUGAGAACCAAAGAAAACCCCAGAACAUAGCAAGGAAGCUAAUUUCUAGCCUUCCCGAUAUGCAUUGAAUGGAUAUCAGUUUAUCGAUGCAUGUUCUUUGAUGUGCAUUAACAAGUUCAGUUGGAGGAUUCAAGAUUCAAGGCAACUUUGCUUACAACUGGAACAGCGGGGUAGAGCCUUAAUGUUUCAGUUAAGGCUGCAUGGAGAUAGUGCAUUUUUCCUAGGGCUUCUUCGCUCAAGAUAGCAGCAAAUUCAGCAAAAUCUUUAACCUCCUUCGUGUCAGUUGCUUCCUUCACUUCUUGUGCAACCUUUUCUUGAACAUCAGGAUGCUUGCAGAGCAUGUAAAUAAACCACGACAGAGUAGCUGUCGUUGUGUCUUUCCCAGCAAUUAUGAAGUUAAGGAUUAUAUCUCGCAAGUAUGUUGGAUCAGUGUCACUCACUUGUAGAAAUCUGGAUAAAAUGUCUUCCUUUUUCAUCUGCAUAAUCUGUAGAAAAUAAUAAUUUCAAUAUUCUACUUCAACAGGUAAUAUAAGCUGUUAACUAUAAGUAGCUCUACUGUUCUAGUUCACUCACUGAAGCUUCAUCCUUUGAGUUGCGUAUUGGCUCAAUCUUGUUGUGGAUCAGCUUAUACACAAAAUUAUCAACCACUUCUAUACUUUUCUUCAGUGUGGCCUCUGAUCCAAUAUUUAGAAAUCUUUUGAUCUUCUAGAAGAUAUCAACAUAUCGGAAGAGGAUUGCUGCACUUGAAUCAUCAAAAGCAGCUGUAAACUGUUUGCCUUCUAAAUUUGAUCCACACAUGCUGUCUAGUUCGACUCCAAAUGCAACUUUGAAUAGUGAAUCUAAAGUCGAUUUCAUAAACAAGUCCUGCACAAUAUAUCGUUAUAACAGAUCCAUUUUAUAUAUCACUCUGCAUUGAUCUUGCCAUUAGGUGAACUUACCUGUAUAUCCAUUAUCUCAUUGGAAUUUGCUGCUUCAGACACUAUAGUUGCAAGUUUUGCCGCAUUUUCCCGAAAGACUACACUGCUGAAAUCUCUCAAGACCUUGGUUGAGAAUUCAUAGCUUGAUACUUUCCUCUGUUGACGCCACUUAUCACCAUCGACAGUGAAAAUCCCAUCACCUAGUAAACCCUUUAGCAAGCUGUAAUUGUACUCACCCUGCACAGAAAAUUAAACAGUUUGGAAAACCAAAACAACUCCACCAUUCUGCCUUUUGGGUGGCCAUAUAAUUAUCAAAAGCCCUCUCAUUCCAACUAAUCACUCUGCGGCAUAUUAGCAUCUACAAUUGACUUACUUGUGGCGAGAUUGAGACCCUUUUUCUUAAUCUAAUUACGGGUGUUUCUGUCUAAGCUACUUACACUAACCAAUCACCGGGAGAGUUCAGAAUUUUCUAGACCAACAAAUUAUUUGUGACUUUGAGGUGUGAAACGAGAGUCGGCACCAUACCUUGCCAUAUUUCUGGAAAUUUGUUUUUAGAAUAUACUCAACAUUGUCUGGUUCCGAGGUAUAAAUCUCAUUCCUGAAAGGGCUAAGCAGCCUGUAGUUCCUGUACUUCCCAGCAAGAUCAGUCAUAUAGUGAUGCAAUCUUCUGAAGUUGAGGAGCUGGUUAAAAACCGUUCCGCCAACGGGAUGGUACUUGGCCUUAUUUUUCCUCUGCCUUUCUCUUAGUUUUGCUGUGAGGAACUGGACGGUGAAAAGGGUCAGGAUUAGACUUAGAACCAAAGCUACCAAGGGAACUGGGUUAGACAGAUCCAUGAAGAUGGAGGUACGUUUGGGAAAGCUGGUCUAUCAAUGUUAGGUGAAGGCUGUAUUAAACUAGAGAAGUCGUUCUGAAAUACUAAUAAUAUCAACGGAGAGAAGUCCUUCUGCCAAGUUAUUCCUCUCAACCAAACGUGUCACAACCUAAUUGGACUACAUUCGGACAAGCCCGAAACGUGGUUCUCUCGAAUUUCACAAGGUGAAAUUUUUGAAAUUGGCAAAAAAUUACUAAUAAAUUUCACCACAACCAGAUAACAAAACAAAGGGUCAUACUUAUUUUUUCCUUAGUUAUGAUGGUAAAGGACAUACAUAUCUGUUCUAUUCGGUUAUUUUGUAGUUAAGUAAAGAGAAUGAUUUUUUAAUUUAAUUUUUAAAUAAAAAUACGUGUAUUUAUCAUGUUAAGUUUAAUAUUCAGAUGAAAAAUUAAUUAGAAUUUUAUUUCAAAGCAUAUGAUACAAUUAAGUAACUUAAGUACAAAGAUGAUUAAGCUUAGCAAACAAGGAAAUGUCAUAUUUCUCAAUCCGAGAGAUAAGAAGCACAGAGCCAAAGGCCCUGCAAAAAGGCAGGGGAGAACUGAAUUGUUGUUUCCUAAAACUUUGCAUUAAGAUCAACAUGACUUUCUAGUCAUUAAAUAUUCUGCUAGAUUUCGAACUUGCAAAUAUGGUCUGUUUUAAUGAAAUUGCAGAAUGUUGUCUCAGGUCUCAACAACUUUGAUUUCACUUCUUUUUCAAGGAAAAAAAAAUGGUUUCACUUAGUUUGCAGAAGUGUCCUGAACUCAAUUUUCAGACAAAAGUAUGGUUCGAGACUCCUUGGUGAGUGAAAGUAAUUCUUCAUCAUAUUUAUUCCUUUAUUUUUCUUUUUGGAUAUCAUUGUAUUUAUUCUUGUGCAAGGACAAGUACAUGCAUACUCAAACCUUGCAAUUGCCCAGCAUACAGAACUGAGCCAACAGAUGAAACCCGUGGUCAAAUAGGCAAGAAAGACUAAGUCUGACAUCUGGGAAAUGCGCGGACAUGAAGGCCCCCAUCUACGUGAAGAGUGAUCAUCGUCCUGUAGGUGACAGAUUUAUUCUCAUCACUCAGUUUGAACACAAAGUAGUGCACCAGAACAGCCGAGAAGAUCUUCAUCUGCCUAUAAGCAAAUUCCUUGCCGAAACAAAUUCGAGGGCCUGCCUGUAAACCAUUAGAAAAUAAAGUUCAGCAUGUUCACAUCUUUAGCCGGUGAAAUCACACUUGUGAAACAAUAUGAGAAGUUUGAACUUUCGGAAAAAGACCCAGAACCAAAAAUCAAAUGCUGUUAUACUGCUUUUUUAGCCUCUUUUUCUAUUUGAGGUUUUAUUUUACACCAAGUGCCAAUCAGAAUAAUAAUGCUUUGGCCGAUCUGGAAACGAAGCGUACAAGAACUUCUAAUUUGUAGUAUGUUCUGCACACCUGGAAUGCUGUAAACUUAAAAUGGCUUUCUGGUUGGAACAUCCCAUCCUCAUCAAGCCAUCUCUCUGGUCUGAACUCCUCUGCAUCAUCACCCCAUAUGAAUUUCAUUCUGCCCAUUGCAUAAGGUUGAUAACAAACCAUAUCUCCUUUCCUCACACUGAACCCAUCUGGAAGAGUAUCAUCAGAAAAGCAUAUCUUUGCAUCCUGCAAUCAAAGUGAAGAGGUAGUGAGAUCCAAAGAAAACCCCAGAACAUAGAAAGGAAGCUAAUUUCUAGCCUUCCCGAUACGCAUUGAAUGGAUAUCAGUUUAUAGAUGCAUGUUCUUUGAUGUGCAUUAACAAGUUCAGUUGGAGGAUUCAAGAUUCAAGGAAACUUUGCUUACAACUGGAACAGCGGGGUAGAGCCUUAAUGUUUCAGUUAAGGCUGCAUGGAGAUAGUGCAUUUUUCCUAGAGCUUCUUCGCUCAAGAUAGCAGCAAAUUCAGCAAAAUCUUUAACCUCCAUCGUGUCAGUUGCUUCCUUCACUUCUUGUGCAACCUUUUCUUGAACAUCAGGAUGCUUGCAGAGCAUGUAAAUAAACCACGACAGAGUAGCUGCUGUUGUGUCUUUCCCAGCAAUUAUGAAGUUAAGGAUUAUAUCUCGCACGUAUGUUGGGUCAGUGUCAUUCAAUUGCAGAAAUCUGGAUAAAAUGUCUUCCUUUUUCAUCUGCACAAUCCGUAGAAUACAAUUAUUUCAAAAUUCUACAUAGAAACCGUUAAUUAUAAGUAGCUCUAUUCUUCUAGUUCACUCACAGAAGAAUCGUUCGAGUUACGCGUCUGCUCAAUCUUGUUGUGGAUCAGCUUAUACACAAAAUUAUCAACCACUUUUGUACUUUUCUUUAGUUUUUGCUUCUGAUCCAAUAUUUAAAAAUCUCUUGAUCUUCCAGAAGAUAUCAACAUAUCGGAAGAGGAUUGCUGCACUUGAAUCGUCUAAAGCAGCUGUAAACUCUUUGCCUUCUAAAUUUGAUCCACACAUGCUGUCUAGUUCAACUCCAAAUCCAACCUUGAAUAUCGAAUCUAAAGUCGAUUUCAUAAACAAGUCCUACACAACAUUUCGUUAUAACAGAUUCAUUUUAUAUAUCACUCCGUCAUGAGUCUUGCCAUUAGGUGAACUUACCUGAAUAUCCAUUGUCUUGUUGGACUUCGUUGCGUCAGACACUAUAUUUGCAAGCUUUGCUGCAUUUUUCCGAAAGACUACAGUGCUGAAAUCCCUCAACACCUUUGUUGAGAAUUCAUAGCUUGACACUUUCCUCUGUUGACGCCACUUAUCACCAUCGACUGCGAAAAUCCCAUCACCUAGUAAAUCCUUUACCAAGCUGUAAUUGUACUCACCCUGCACAGAAAAUUAGACAAAUUGAAAAACCAAAACGACCCCACCAUUCUACCGUAGCCAUAUAAUUAUCAAAAACUCUUUCGUUGUAGCUAAUAACCCUGCAGGCUGCAGCACAUUAGCAUUUGUAAUUGACUUAAUUGUGACUAUAGAUUGAGACACUCUUUCAUAUUCUAAUUCUGGGUGUUACUGUCUAAGCUACUUCUUCCAACCAAUGACUGGGAGUUCAAAAUUUUCUAGACCAACAAAUUACCUUGCCAUAAUUCUGGAAAUUUGUUUUGAGAAUAUAUUCAACGUUGUCUGGUUCCGAGGUAUAAACCUCACUCCUGAAAGGGCUAAGCAGCCUGUAGGUCCUAUACUUCCCUGCAAGAUCAGUCAUAUAGUGAUGCACUCUUUUGAAGUUGAGGAGCUGGUUAAAAAGUGUUCCGCCAACAGGAUGGUACUUGGUCUUGUUUUCUUUCUGCUUUUCUCUUAGUUUUGCUGCGAGGAACUUGACAGUGAAAAGGAUCAGGAUUAGAUUUAGAAACAAAGCGACCAAUGUAGCUGGGUUAGACAGAUCCAUGGAGAUGGAGGUCCUUUCUGGGUAAGCUGGUCGAUCAAUGUUAGCGGGUGAAGACUGAAGAAAACUAGAGGUCCUUUUAUAAUACUAAUAAUAUCAACGGCGAAAAAUCCUUUUGCUAAGUCAUUUCUCCUAACCAAACGAGUGACUAUAUUCCGACAAACCGCAAACGUGUUUCUCUUGAAUUUUACAUGCACAUUGCUGAGAGUCCAACCAUGAGAGAGAUAUGCACCGACUGUCCUUCAUUUUCUCCUUUUUCUUGUUUAAAUUGGUAUAAGUUAUUAACUAAUUUCACCACAACCAAAUAACAAAACAAAGGGCAGGAUUAGUUUUUUUUUUUCUCAGUCAAUAUAACUAUUUAGAGAAAAUUGUGAAAAAUAACUCAUAAGGUGAUUUUAAAAAUAAUCAUCCAUAUAAAGUUAUCUGUUUUUACUAAAAAACAAACAUGAGUAAUACCCUCAGAAACAUCUUGACAAAUCAAUCUUCUGAUAUCUCUCCGCUGUAGAAAAAAUAAAUGCUCAAUUAUUUUAACUCGCUUAACUCUUUCAGCUCUCUAAAUUAUAUCAACUCUGUCAACUCUCUGUUAAGCAUCAUCGUCAUCAACUCUCUCAACUAUUUGAACUAUAUCAUCUAUAUGUAUUUAUUAAAGAUAUAAAUUAAAGAAUAUAAAUGAAAACAAAGUAAAUGAAUAAUUGAAAAGACAAGUCGAGCCACUUAUUACUACAACGAUCAUUGUCUGAUCAUGACAACUGAAGCCACUGCAAUUGCUCGGCCAAUAAAGUUGGCAAACUUUGUUGAAAUAGGACUUGCAUUGAAAACCAUGUAAGUUCAUACUACCUUAAGAUCAUACGUGACCAUUUUGUAUUAAGCUACCUUUCUUUCAAAUUAUAAUAACUAUGCAUUUAGUGAAUGACUUAUAUGAUGAUUAGUAUGUAUUCUUUUGCCUAGCUACUGCUCAAAACUUAGUUGUUAAGUUUUGUUUUGUAUAUAAACUAAGUCAAUGCAUAUAAGAAAUAUGAAACCUACUGUUACAACAAAAACUGUCUUUACUUGCUCUGUUUCAUACUUAUCCUACAUCAACUAAAACACAACAAAACUUACUAAAUAAAGCAAUCUAUAUACCAACAAUCUCUUCGAAUUCAGCAAGUUUUAGUUUGUCCUCUUGGAAUGACAUAAAGGUCGAGGCCAUGCUGGAGGGUGAGGCCACAACUUGGUCCUAUCGUCUGCCAAGUUGAAGCGAAAGUAGUGAAUAAAGGAACUUUGUUGAGAUUUUCUUCAUCUGCCUAGAGAAAUUAAGAAGAAAUUAGAUGGUGUAGAUACUUGAUUUUGAUUUUGAUUGUUUACAUAUUUCUUCAAUAUAAAGUAAAAUUAACUUAUAAAACAUUGUAUUACUACGUAAGAAGCAGUGUAGAUAAUUUAUAAUAAGUAGAAAAAUCACGUCAUUGUAUAAACUAGUGAAAAUAUCUUCGAACUAAUGAUGAGAUUUUUAAAUUAAUUUUUUUUAAAAUGUUUUGAAGUGUUUUAUUUGAUAACUUAAAUACAUAAAUGAAAACUUUCUAAAUACAUAUGCAUAAAGUCCACUAUCACCAUCAAUGACCUAAACAUCCACAAGGCUUUAAUGCCUCAACAGUUGACACAUUUUUUCAUUGGUUUUUUUUAGGGGUAUUUUUAAAAAUAACCCUUAAAAAUAAGAUGUUUUCAAAAAUAACUCUCUUUAUAAUUUUAACCAUUUUUAACCAAGUUGGACAAAAUUACCCUUAAUGAAAUUACACGCUAUGAUGUUACACGUUAUGUACAAAAAUAUGUUACACGUCAUGUGCAAAAACAUGUGACACGUCAUGGUUAAGUUGUUACACACCAUGUACAGAAACAUGUGACACGCUAUGUACAAAAACAUGUAACACGUCAUGAUUAGGUUGUUACACACCAUGUACAGAAACAUGUGACACGUCAUGUACAAAAACAUGUGACACGCCAUGGUUAGGUUGUUACACGUCAUGUUGAAAAAAAUACUAUUGUUACACGCCAUGUAUAAAAACAUAUUACACGUCAUGGUUAAAAAAAGUUGUUACAUGCCAUGUUGAAAAACAAAUAUUGUUGUUACACGUCAUGUACAAAAAUCUGUGACAAGCCAUAAUUAGGUUGUUACACGUCAUGUUGAAAAAAAAUACUAUUGUUACACGUCAUCUACAAAAAUAUGUUACACGCUAUGGUUAAAAAAAGUCGUUACACUCCAUGUUGAAAAAAAAAAUUAUUGUUACACGCUAUGUUGAAAAAAUAUUGUUGUUACACGACAUAUUCAAAAAUAUUUUGUUACACUUUAAUGUCUAAAAUAUUGUUGUUACUUACGAACCAAAACUUCAAAUCUUCUCAACUUUUUUCUUUUUUUGUUGUUUUUUUUGACAAUUUGGCACAGAUUAAAUUGUUUCUAACAUCUUUUCAUAAAUCAAAAUACAAAUAUUUUUUUUAUCUAAACCACCUACNGCUUAAAAUUUUGUUGUUACUUAUGAACCAAAACUUCAAAUCUUUUCAACUCUUUUCAUUUUUUUUUGUUUUUUUUGACAAUUUGGCACUGAUUAUAGUGUUUCUAACAUGUUUUCAUUAAUCAAAAUACAAAUUUUUUUAUCUAAAAUACUUAUUUCGAAUAAAAUAAAAAAAAAAUUCUUUUAAAAAUCUAGAUUUUUAAAUUUCAAAAUUUUGAGUUUUUUAGUGUCUAGGUCCCUAAUUGAUUCAAUUAAAAGUUAUUUCAUACAUCUGUGAUUAUUUCUACCACCCACCCAAGCACGUCAAAAACAUUGCUUGGUGUCUUGAAAGCACAAUAAAAAAAAUCUAAAAAUACAAUAGAGAGAAAUCAGAAGCAUAGCAAACGAAUGCCAAAAAGAGAAAUCGAUAAAAUUAAAGAGAAUGGGAUAGUGAGAGAGAGAAAUCAGAAACAAAAAUUGGGAGAAAUUGUGAUGAAUGGUUUAAUUUAUUUGAAAUAGUUUAAAAGUUAUUUUUAUCAAAUCAUGACUAAAUAUAAUUAAAAACAGUUAAAUUUAUUUUGAUUGUUACUUUUAAAAUGUCUUUAUCAAAAAAGGUCAUUUCUCACAAUUUCCUUUUUUUUAUAAGCCAUGAAUAAAUUUCAUUAAUUACAAGAUUACUCAAUUCCAUAACCCUUCAAGAUAUUUUCUCAUUGAUUGUGUUCGAUUUGAUAUGGAUGUUAAUUUUCUUUUUGAAUUACAAAUAUUUUUCAUUUUUUUAAAUAAUUAAGUGACGCACUUCUAAUGCCUCAGUAGCUGACAUUAAUUAUCCAUUGGUUGCAUUCACUUUGAUUCGGAGCUAAUUAACAACCGAAAAGUUGGCCGAUGUUUGCCGACCUGGAUUUAAUGGUCAUAUGAGUUGGUGUAACAAUGUGAUACCAAAAAGGUAGUAAUCAAUACAAAUUUUGAGUAGGAAGAGUACUGCAUGCAAAUGAAAUCAAGAAGAAGAUUGUGGAGAAAACUCUCAUUUAAUGGAAGAACAUGACUGCCAAAUACGAGUACCUAUACAUGGUUUUGCAAUUGCCAUCAUCCUAUGCAUCCCUAGGUUACUUAACUGAUUGAUGUAAUUCAUUGAAUAAAAUGGUUAGUUGUUCUUAUCAUGUCAUGUCAUCGUCAUGAUAUUUCUUCCUCUUUUGUGAGUAAUGAGAUUUUUGAAGGAUGGAGAUGACUCUACCUAAAUUCCUAGAUUUUUUUUGUUGCUUAUUUUCAUUGUAUUUUGAGUUCUUGACUGUCUAUAACUGUUUAUCUUUUGCAAAGCCAUUUUUUUACCUUAAUUUCAACCCAGCAUCUGUGUGUUGUCUGAUGGGUUAGAAAAUGGGCAAGUUUGAUUGGUGGUUGAUUCCUUUUCUUCAGCAUUUUGGUAACUUGGGCCUAUAAAAUUUAUUUAUAGUAGACAAAAAAAAAGAACUUUUAUUAAAAAAUAUUAUAGUAAAUAUUUGUUUCUUUUCGGAUAAUUGACUUUUAUUUAGCUAAGGAAUAUUUUAUUUGAAAUAUGUCCCAUAUAUACCACUGAAAAUCCAAGGUUUUUUAUGGCUAUUCAUUCUUAAUGGCAUUUCUACUAAAUGCUUUCUAAGAAUCAGAACGCAUGGUGUAUGUCCUACAAUACAAAUGGUGAUAACUUUUGUUUUUGGUGUUACAGUCAUGGAAGAAAAGAGUGAUGAUAUUUUAUUUUCUUGUCACUUCAUACGGUCCAUGGAGGAAAUGUGGAUAGAUCGAAGAUAAGUAAAUCAAGAUUCACAGACUGUGAAAACGUAUUAAAAGAUAAGAAUUUUUUGACUUGGAUUUUUUUUAAUAAAAGUUCUUUGCUUGGAUUUUUUUUUUAGUAAAAAUUCUUUGCUUGGAUUUAAGAGAUGAGAUUCAAAGAACUUUUAAGAGAUGCAGCAAACAACCUCAAAAUCCAAGCUCUUUGCUUGUAAGCUUCCUAGGCACCUGUAAACGGAAAAUACGGCUUCUAUGGAGUCCCAAUCUCCGGAAAUGGUCAGGGCAUAUAGACCAGAUGACUCGAAUUGUACAUAUAUUUUUUUCUUUUUUGGUGAAAUAACUCAAAUUCCAUUCAUCAACGCAUUUACAGAAAAAAGCAAAUCAACACUACAGAAAAAUGCAAAUCGGGGCUCUUAUGUACAACCAGCAAGGUUGAAGACUUGAAGUUGAACAAAUUGAUGACUUUGCACAGGAGGAUAUUUGGAAAUUCAUCAACUUGUCCUUGGAACAGCAUAAAGAUGGAGGCCCCCCUUCAUAUGAAGUGUGAACAUUGUCCUGUAAGUCGCAAUUUUCGUAUCAUCAACUAAUUUAAAGCGGAAGAAGCGAAGAAGGGCAAUUGAGACUAUCUUCAUCUGCCGGUAAGCAAAAUCCUUGCCUAAGCAAGUUCGAGGACCCGCCUGAAACAUAAUGCAGCAGCUGGAAAAGAUUAAGAUCGUUUGACAACUAUAUAGGCACAUGCAUGUUAUACACAUGGUAGAAAUGGAAAAAAGAAUACUAACAUGAAAUGUUAUGAAUUUGAAAGGGGAUUCGGGCUGGAGAACUCUAUUGUUAAGCCAUCUUUCUGGUCGAAAAGUGUCGGCAUCUUCUCCCCCAAUGUCAGGCAUUCUACCCAUGGCGUAGGCCAUGUAAUAUACCCCGUCUCCUUUCUUGAGUUUGUAGCCAUCAGGGAGAAUGUCAUCCUGCUCUGCAUUCCUUCCAUCCUUGAAGCACAAAGUGAGAACCAUAUCAUAUUCCAGCUAUCGAAAUGCUAAGACUGCUAGAAAAUCUAUGAGUGUCUCAGGCAACUUACAAUGGCGACAGCAGGGUACAGCCUUAAGGUCUCUGUUAUGGCUGCAUGAAGAUAGUGCAUUUGCUCUAGGGUUGAAUCAGUUAUGGUUGUCACGAAAUCAUCAACAUUAUUAGCACCAUUUCCUUUACUACUAGUGACGUCCACCACUUCUUGUGCAACUUUUUCUUGUAUCAAAGGGUUCUUGCAGAGCAUGUAGAAGAACCAGGACAGAGUAUUCGCAGAAGAAUCUUUGCCAGCGAGUAUGAAGUUCAGGAUUAUAUCCCUUAAAUAUUUGUCAUUCAUUGUGUCUGGAUUCUUCUCGCUUUCCACUAAAAAUCUUGAAAGUAUGUCUUCUUUCACAUUCUUGAAGCCAUAAAAAGAAAUAAGAAAAAACAAACCAAUUAUUAGUAAAGUAUAAAUUUCCACGCCAAAAACCAGAUUACCUUAAGCAGUGAGAUUGAAUUCAACAGUGUUCUUGUGACUUUCAAGUCCCACCAUAUUUGUUAGACCAAGAUUGACUAUAAGAAAUUCUUGCAGCAAAAUAUAUAUGGCUCACCAAAUCUCGUUCCAUGCCCAGCAGUUUCCUCUUGGAGCUAAUGACAUCGUGAACAAAAGUAUCAAUGACUUUGAUAUUCUUUCUGAGGGCAGCUUCAGAGCCAAUGUUAAGAGACCUUUUCAGCUUCCAGAAAGGGUCAACAAAGCGCCUCUCAUUUGAAACAUCAAAAGCCUUCAUAAAAGUAGUCCCUUCCUUACUUGACCCAUCCAUGCAGUUUAUAUCUAUGCCAAACCCAACUUUGAAUAUGGAAUCUAGAGUGCAUGUCAUUAAUAGAUUCUACAAAUUAAAGUAAACACAGCAUGAAAAACUGAAAAAGGGAAAAUUAGACAAGCAUAAUUGUGAGCGUCUUUAAAGUUUUGGGUUAAUUUGAGGGUCAGAUUUCUCACUUGCAUGUCAAAAGCUUGACCCGACACUUCCAGCUUCGAAAUAACUCCAACCAGCUUGGCAGCGUUCCUUCUGAAAACAGAGCAGCUAAAAUCUUUAAGAACUCUCGUCGAGAACUCGAAGCUUGCCAGCUUCCGCUGCUUUCGCCACUUGUCUCCGUCCACCGCAAAGAUCCCUUGUCCAAAAAGAUCUAUCAGAAUUUCUUGGUUUUGUUUACCCUUACAAUAUCUGUCGAACUUUGUUUUCAAUAUGUACUCUAUGUUGGAAAAUAAUGUAUUUCAUAAGGUUCAAACAUCCCACAUUGUCAAAAUACAUAAAAGGUGAAUGUCUUAUAUUGGGAAACCAACUUUAGACUUGUUGCAAGCAAAGAAAACAAAGUGGGCUCACGCGCAUACAAAAUUGGGCCAAAUAGUUAAAAAUUUUAAAUUUUCCUCCCUGUGCGCGAGUAUACAUGUGAGCUGAGCCUAAGUGACCUUUUGUACCUUGACCUUAUUUUUUUUGAACUUUUUCAGCCUUUGAUUAAAUCAAAGUCUAACUCUACCAUGCUUACCUGAUUCUCCUGGUUUUCCUCAACUCCCUCAACUCUCUGAUCUGGUGCAAUGUUCACCUUAUUUGGUGCAACGUUCACUUCACUCCAUGCCUAUAAAUACAACCUUACACCCUCACUCACAACAUACACCAAAGCUUUUCUUCUCUAAAGCUUUCUCCCUCUGCCUCUUCUCUUCUCUUAAGCUUCUCUGCUGGGUUUUCUGCUUCUUCUUUUUGCUAUUCCUGUCAUCCCUUAAUAGUUUGUGCAAACUAUAAGGAAGGGUCUGUUGAAUCUUGGAGGAUAACCGCUACAGUCUUUUUGCACCGAGUUUUAUACUCCGAAUGGGCGAAAAUUAUCCUUAAAGACAGUGAUACCACGCCUCAGACCAAUUACUGCUUUUACUAGUUUUAUAUUCCUUUGUUUCCAAUAUUCAUACAACAUUCUUAAGGAUAAUGGAUUCCCAUGUUGAUAAUGUUGCUGCCACUGUUCCUAAUGCUGCCUCUGUCCCUACUGCCACUAUUCCUAAUGCUGCCUCUGUCCCUGUUGCCACCGCUGUCAACAGUUCCCCCAUAGCUCCCACUCCGAUGACCAUUCCUCCUAUGGCCUCGGCUUCAUAUGCCAAACCAUUUCCAGAUAUUUCCAAAAUAGAAGUCUUUGAUGGCAGAAACUUCAAAAGGUGGCAAGAAAGGAUUUUUUCAAUCCUUGAUGUUCAUGGGGUUGCUUUUGCACUAAUUGAUUCCAAACCAGAUGAUGUCAAGAUGCUGGAACCAUGGAUGCAUGCAAAUAAGGUAUGCAGGCAUACAAUCAUUAGCACACUUUCUAAUGAAUUGUUUGAUGUAUACAACCCUUACAAAGAAGCAAAGCAAAUAUGAGAGUCAAUGAUAGCCAAAUAUACUGCUGAAGAUGUUGGGAAACAGAAGUUCGUGAUUGGCAACUUUUAUCGUUGGAAGAUGACAAAUGACAAGGACAUCAAGAGUCAGAUCAAUGAAUACCACAAGCUAGUGGAUGAUUUGAAGGCUGAAAAAAUCAACUUGCAAGAAGAGUUCGUUGUUAGAUUGCUGAUUGAGAAGCUACCACAAUCUUGGAAUGGAUACAAGCAACAACUAAAGCACAAGGAAAAGUAGUUGUCACUUGCAAAUUUAAUUGUGCACAUCAUCAUUGAAGACACAACUCGCAGGGAGAUUAAGGCUUCCAAAGCUAAGGAAAUUGCAACUAAAGCCAAUCUGGUACAAGGCAAAACCCAGCGCCAACCAAGGUACCCUUAUAAACCUUAUCAUAAACCCAAAGCUCCUCAUCCCACUUUCAAAAAGAAGGGUAGUUGUUUUGUCUGUGGAAAGCCAGGGCAUCAUGCAGCACAAUGCAGGAAAAGAGCAAAGAGAAAUGACAAACCUGCUAAUCCAAGAGUCAACUUGGUCAAAGCAGAUGAAUCUAAUGAUGUAAUUGCUGCGGUCAUUUUACAAGCAAAUAUGGUGGCCAGUGUGAAGGAAUUGGUGGUAGACUCAGGUGCUACCAAGCAUAUUUGUGCAAACAGAAAUGCCUUUACCUCCUAUACUCUUGUAGGGGAAGGAAAAGAGACAAUUUACCUCGAUGAUUCUCGAACUGCUCAAGUUCUUGGUAAAGGGAAAGUCCUUCUCAAGCUCACAUCUGGCAAGACCCUAGCUCUAAAUGAUGUUCUUCAUGUUCCCAAUAUAAGGGCAAACUUGGUAUCUGUGGCCUUAUUAGGCAAGGUUGGGGUGAAAAUGUCAUUCGAAUCUGACAAGAUUAUGAUGACAAAAAAUAAUGUGUUUAUGGGUAAGGGUUAUUGCAAUCAGGGACUCUUUGUACUUAACAUUUCCAAUGUUUUGAAUGAAAAUGGCAAUUCUUCUGCUUACAUGAUUGAAUCUGUUGAUUUAUGGCAUGGUAGACUAGAACAUGUUAGCAUUCCCUAUAUUAAGAAAAUGCAAUCACUAGGAUUAAUUUCUAAUAUUAAAAAUGGAAGCUUUAAUAAAUGCGAAAUAUGUGCUGAAACAAAAUCAACUAAAAAAACUUGUAUUUCAGUAAAUAGGGAAUCUGAAUUAUUAAGUUUAAUUCAUACAGACUUAGGAGAUCUAAAACAAACUGUGACUAGAUGAGGUACGCAAUACUAUGUUACAUUUAUUGAUGAUUAUUCUAGAUUUACUAAAGUUUAUUUACUUAGGCAUAAAGAUGAAGCUUUUGACAUGUUUAUUAAAUAUAAAGCUGAGGUAGAAAAUCAACUGAAUAAAAAGAUAAAAAGAAUUAGAUCAGAUAGAGGGGGUGAAUAUAUACCGAUUAAUGAUAUUUGUGAAAAAGAAUGAAUAAUUUAUGAAAUUACUCUUCCAUAUUCUCCUGAAUCAAAUGGUGUAGCUGAAAGAAAAAAUAGAACAUUAAAAGAAAUGAUGAACUCUAUGCUUGUUAGUUCCAAUGCACAUGAAAAUUUGUGGGGUGAAGCUUUAUUAUCCGCAUGUCAUAUUCAGAAUAGAAUACCUUAUAAGAAAACUAGUAAGACACCUUAUGAAUUAUGGAAAGGUUAUUCUCCUAAUUUAAAAUAUUUAAAAAUAUGGGGGUGUCUAGCUAAGGUAAUGCUUCCUGAAUUUAAGAAGAGAAAAAUUGGUUCUAAGACAUCUGAUUGCAUGUUUAUUGGUUAUGCUGAACAUAGUGCUGCAUAUAGGUUUCUUGUAUUAAAAAGUGAUGUUCUUGAUUGUAAUACAAUUGUUGAAACAAAGAAUGCCGAAUUUUUUGAACAUAUUUUUCCAUUAAGAAUUGAUACAAUUUCUCAUGCACCUUUUAGUAAAAAUGAUUUUGAAAUACAAAAUGAUGAUUUGAGAAGGAAUAAAAGACCAAUUUCUUUUGGUAAUGAUUUUUAUACUUAUCUUGUAGAUAAUGAUCCUUUGACUUAUGUUGAUGCAAUUUCUUCUAAAGAAAGUUUAUUUUGGAAAGAAGCCAUACAAAAUGAGAUUGAUUCGAUUUUACAAAAUCAAACUUGAGAAUUAGUUGAUUUACCACCUGGAGCCAAACCAAUUGGUUGCAAAUGGAUUUUUAAAAGAAAAUUUAGUCUUGAUGAUUUUAUUGAUAAAUAUAAAGCUAGAUUAGUUGCAAAGGGUUUUACUCAAAAACCAAAUAUUGACUAUUUUGAUACUUUUGCUCCAGUAACAAGAAUUGCAUCAAUUCGUGUUUUAUUUGCUUUAGCUUCAAUUUACAAACUUGUUGUUCAUCAAAUGGAUGUAAAAACUGCUUUUUUAAAUGGUGAUUUAGAAGAAGAAAUUUAUAUGACACAACCUGAGCGAUGUAUUGUUCCUGGUCAAGAAAACAAAGUUUGUAAAUUGAUUAAAUCAUUAUAUGGUUUGAAACAAGCACCCAAACAAUGGCAUGAGAAAUUUGAUCAAGUUCUUGUUAGUAAUGGAUUUUCUACUGUUGGAGUUGAUAAAUGUGUGUACACAAAAACUGUUGAUAGUGGAUGUGUGAUUAUUAGCUUAUAUGUUGAUGAUAUGCUUAUUUUUGGUACACGCAUUGAUGUGGUCAAUAAAAUAAAAUGCUUUUUAGCUUCUAAAUUUGACAUGAAAGAUCUGGGAGAAGCCAAAGUUAUUUUGGGUAUUAAAAUCAUAAGAUGUGAUAGUGGCUUAAUGCUAACAUAAGAGCAUUAUGUUGAGAGACUACUUAAAAGGUUUGAACAUUUUGAUGUCACACCUGUGAGUACUCCUUAUGAUAGUAAUAUUCAAUUAAAGAAAAAUAGAGGUGAUAGUGUAGCUCAGUUUGAGUAUGCACAGAUUAUUGGAAGUCUGAUGCAUUUAAUGAAUUAUACUCGACCAGAUAUAGCUUAUGUUGUAUGUAGACUGAGCAGAUAUACACAAAAUCCUAAUAGAGAUCAUUGGACUACCUUGAGUAGGGUGAUGAAAUAUUUGAAAGGUACCAUAAACUAUGAUAUUUUAUAUAAUGAAUUUCCCGCUGUAUUAGAAUGAUACAGUGAUGCUAAUUGGAUCUCAUAUUCAGAUGAGACGAAAUCUACGAGUGGUUAUGUAUUCACCCUUGGUGGCGGUGCUAUAACUUGGAAAUUAGCCAAACAAACAAUAAUUGCUAAAUCUACAAUUGAAUCAGAAUUUGUAGCUUUAAAGUUGGCUGGUAAUGAGGCUGAGUGGUUGAGAAACCUCUUAACAGAUAUUCCGUUAAGAAUGAAACCAACACCUUCUGUGUCCAUGCAUUGUGAUUGCCAAGCGGCAAUAACCAUUUCAAAUAAUAAAACUUUCAAUGGUAAAAAUAGACACAUUCGUUUGAGACAUGAUGUAGUAAAGCAGCUGCUUAGAGAUGGAAUUAUAUCCAUUAAUUAUAUGAAGUCAGAGCUGAAUUUGGUCGAUCCUCUGACUAAGCCCCUAGGAAGAAAAUUAAUUAAUGCUACAUCGAGAGGAAUGAGACUUAAGCCAAAUGAGGAAAUCAACAAAUAGUAGUAACCCAACCUAUGUGAUUGGAAAUCCCAUGAAUUAGGUUCAUAUGGGUAAUAACAAGUUAUUUGUUGAUAAAUUAAUGCACUAUUGAAAGUAUUGUCCCUCCUAUGGUGUGUAAAUAGUGCAAAACUGCAAUGUAAGAAAGGUUGAGUUAAACUCUUAAUGCAUUCCAUAUUCCUUAUGGGUAGUGUAUUAUACUGCAGUAUACACUUGAUGGAAUCAACCUAUAUAAGUGUGGAGUAGGGCAGCUCCUAUGAGAACUAUGGCAAAUUCUCUAGAGCACUUAUGAAUAACCAGGCACGCGCAUGGCCUAUUCGAGCAAAACUGCGUUGAACAGCAGAAAUUGUGAGGGUGUAAUGUGAUUGAUGAAAACUAUAUUUCACAUAAAGAAUUUUGGUUCAUAUAAGUUACAAACUUCACCAAAAUCCUGUGACUUAUAUUUCAUUCUUUCUAAGGGUGGUUCAUAGCUUUAAAAGCACCAGUCACGAUGCAUCACACUCAAAUGAAAUUUGAUCCAACAAAACUUCUUAUAAAAUCUUAUGAAAUAUGUGGGGGAUUGUUGGAAAAUAAUGUAUUUCAUAAGGUUCAAACAUCCCACAUUGCCAAAAUACAUAAAAGGUGAAUGCCUUAUAUUGGGAAAUCAACUAUGGGCUUGUUGCAAGCAAGGAAAACAAAGUGGGCUCGUGCGCAUACAAGAUUGGGCCAAACAGUUAAAAACUUCAGAUUCCCCCCCCCCCUGUGCAAGAGUAUACACGUGGGCUGUGCCCAAGUGACUUUUUGUACCUUAACCUUAUUUUUUUUGAACUUUUUCAGCCUUUGAUUAAAUCAAAGUCCAACUCUACCAUGCUUACCUGAUUCUCCUGGUUUUCCUCAACGUUUAUCCUGGUUUUGCUCUAACGUCUAUCUGACUUGGUAUAAAUGCUGACCAAGUUUUCCUCAACUCCCUCAACUCCUUGAUCUGGUGCAACGUUCACCUUAUUUGGUGCAACAUUCACUUCACUCCAUGCCUAUAAAUACAACCUCACACCCUCACUCACAACAUACACCAAAGCUUUUCUUCUCUAAAGUUAUCUCCCUCUGCCUCUUCUCUUCUCUUAAGCUUCUCUGCUAGGUUUUCUGUUUCUUCUUUUUGCUGUUCCUGUCAUCCCUUAAUAGUUUGUGCAAACUAUAAGGAAGGGUCUGUUGAAUUCUGAAGGAUAACCGCUACAGUCCUUUUGCACUGAGUUUUAUACUCCGAAAGGGCAAAAAUUAUCCUUAAGAACAGUGAUACCACGUCUCAGACCAAUUACUGCUUUUACUAGUUUUAUGUUCCUUUGUUUCUAAUAUUCAUACAACACUCUACAUUUCGCGUAUCGACGGUAUAUACUACGCUUAGCCCUAAAGCGAGUUGCUUGUAAGUGGGAUGUUUUUUGGCCGCUUGGGUUUGAUAGUCGUAGAGAUAGUUGAAAUAAAACAACUGGUUGAAAACGCUGCCCUUCACCAGUGGGUAGUCAGGAUUUUCGAUGGAUUUUUCGGUGAAGAUUUUGAUUGUGAGAAAAGAGAAGAUCAGAAUGAGUGGUGGUAAUGAUAUCAACAAGAAGAUGGCAGAGAAAUUAUCCAUUUUUCCUUUUUCUAAUGAAUACUCUGCAAGGUUAUAGGCCAUAUAUGCAGAUUCUUGUAUUGGGUUGCAUUCAUUUUUCAACCUACCAACAAAAUCAAACCUUUUUCAUCACCAAUAUCUUUCUCAACAACAAAAUCAUUUAUUUAAUAAUUAUAAUGUUUACACGUGUAUGAUUGCCAUUUCAUCAAUUUGAUUUUUCUUGUAAAUUAAGUUGCUGCCACCAUAUCUCAUGCUUCAAAAAAUUUAGAGGAUUGUGCGGAUAAUCAUAAAUUUAUAAUCAUAAUAAUAAUCUAUUUAACUUCUAAAGUGAAUUAACAUAUAUAACUUUAAUCAAGUAAGCAUGAAAAAAGUGUAUCAUUUAAGUUUGGGUCUUGUUUACGAAUACUCUAAGAGCUUUUUUUUAUUGUUAAUUAAAAUAUUAUAAUAAUAUUUUUCUAUUAAAUGCCGUAGUUGAUUGGUAGUGUGAUGAUUUUCAUUAUAUCAAAAACUUUAAAUAAUAUCAUUAAAACAAUAGUUAGUAAAAGGCAUAAUAUUCAAAAAAAGCUUUUAAAUUAUUCAAAAAAUUCAAAUAAAUCUUACUUUUAUUAUAUUCAAUUAUGUUCUUAUAUUUUUAUUUUAGGUCAUAUAAGUCUUUUUAUUUUUUAUUUUUAUUUUGAAUCAAAUAAAUCUUUAUAAGUAAUGAUUAAUUUAGUUAAAAUGUCAUUUAUCAUUCUAUGCUACGUAAUGCUGAUAUGGUAUAUUAACAUAUCAUAAUUAAUGAUGAUGUGAUAUGUUGAUAUAUCAUAAUUGAUAAUAAUGUGACAUACUAAUUUAGCCUAAUACCAUGAUGAUAUUUUUCACCCUCCACAUUAAUACCAUAUUAGUGUUAUAUGGAUAUAAAAUGAUAAAAGAUAUUUUAACUAAUGAAAAUUAGUCAAUCAUUAAUAAUAAGGGCUUAUUUGACCUAAAAUAAAAAUAUAAAGACUUGAUUAAGCAUAAUAAAAGAAUAAAAAUUUAUUUAAAUUUUCUUAAAUAGUUUUAGAGCUUAUUUGAGCAUUAUGUCUUAGUAGAACCAUUUAUGUUUUAAAUUUUUUUUUUUGUUUUUCGCAAAGUAAUUUGUCAUAAACGGAAUAAUGACAUGGCUAUAGAUUAAGUUAGGCUAGAAACUUAUUUCAGCCUUAAAUGAUUAACAAUGAAUUAGGUGAGUCACCUCGCAAGAAACCCUUGUACAAUUCUUAGGAUACCCCUGUUACAUGAUCAAGCUCUCUAUUCUCUAUUUAUUAUUACAAUUGGCGACAACAUUCACCUGCCAACUAUCUAACUCCACAAAACCACCCUCAUCAUAUGUUAAGUUUAACUUAAGAAUAACAAGAUUUGGAAGAAGAUAUUUAAACGGUGAUGCUCAUUCAAUAAUGCCAAUCACUAAUCAAUUAAAAUGGGAAGCCGAAAAUAGAUAAUCCAAGGUACAAAAAAAAAUAAGUUUGUCCUUGAAAAUAUUCGCCAUAUGAAAGGGUUGUUUGAAUUUUGCGGAUGCCAAUUGCCCAGCAUAUUAGACAAAAAGUCAAGAGGCAUAAAUCAGUCCUAUUGGCUUCUUCCACAUUUCAUUUUCUUGAUCACUUUUGUCUUACUACUUUGCUUGAUUCUUUCUACACUCUCCAUUUUUAAUUACAUUUUAUAUAGUUGGGUAAUAGACUUUACGCGCCAUUAAUCAAUGAAGUAUAAUUAUUUCAAUAAUAAGGAGACUUUGAAAUCUUUGGAUUUAUUUUAAUUUUAUAUGAUUGAUUGAAUUAUUUGUAGAUAAAAGAGCUUAUAUAUGAAAAUGACAAAUCUAUGUCAUUAAGCCUAACAACAUCAGAAUUGCAAAUUGGAAGUAUUAAAAAUCAAUAACCCCCAAGAAUUGGCAUCGGUUGUGCGGUACGCAAUUAGAAAAGAAAAUAGAUGAUGUUAUCGCAAUUUUCUUUUUCAAUAUGGUUCACAGAGAGCUCAACUUGACAAAGCAUUGCGAUGAUUAGCUAGCGAGAUCGAGGUACCUCUCUGACCCUGACAACUCACUGCAAGCCAAAGGCAGUCUACAGGAGGAUCCUGAAUUACUGUAAGAAAAAUAAUGGCCCAAAACACAAGCAAAAGCGAAAGUUAUCCAUGGUUGGAGGUCCGCCUCCGCUAUGCCACCAUCAGUGUUGGCUAUGGAGUUACGUUUCGACUGUUGGCCAGAAAUAGUAGAAAUAACAAAUAACUUAUCAAAAAGUGGAGUAUGGGUUAAGCUUAGAAUCAGAAAUUUAUGCAGUUUAUUUAUUUACCGAUCUCCAAUACAAGGUGAACCAAAUUUCAUGUUCAUAAUCAUUAGAAAAGCAAAUCGGAACUCGACAUGAGACAAUCAAGUUGUUAUUCUGCACAAAACUAGAAAAGGAAAGCGGAAGUAAUGUUAUUGCAACCAGCAAGGGGUUGAGCAUUUUUCCAACCGACAAUCUACCAUGUUUCUGGAAAUUGGUUUAAGUUGUCCUAGGAACAGCAUAAAGUUGAAGGCCUCCCCGCAUCUGAAGAGUGAAUGUUACUCUGUAGGUUGCAAUUUUUGUAUCAUCAGCUAAUUUGAAGCGGAAGUAGCGAAUAAGGGCAAUUGAGAAUAUCUUCUCUGCCAGUACGCGAAUUCCUUGCCUAAACAAACUCGAGGGCCCGCCUGCAGGAAGUAAUGCAAAAGCCAAAAGAUAAAUUCUUAGUGUUUGACAAUUAUAUAUGCAUAUAUAUAUAUAUUAAAAGGGAAAAAGAGUUCAAACAUGGAAUGCCACGAAUUUGAAUGGCGAUUCGGGUUGGAAAACUCCGUCUUUAAACCAUCGUUCUGGUCGAAAAACCUCAGCGUCCUCUCCCCAAAUGGAAGGCAUUCUACCCAUGGAAUAGGCCAGAUAGGUAACCUCAUCUCCUUUCCUGACUUUGUGUCCAUCGGGAGAAUGUCAUCCGCCAGUGAACACCUUCCAUCCUUGAUGUACAAUAAAGAUACCACAUUUACCCACGUAAGUAUGUAAUUAUUUAUUUAUGAUUUUUCUUUUCAUGAAGAAAUGCCUAUAAUUAAGAUAUUGUAAUUAAUAUUGUCAAUCCAUAUAUUAGAAAAACAUAAAUCUUAAAUCUUAAACUUCAAACCUUACUAUUUUCAGCAAUUUUAGCAUGAAAUAUAGCAAAAAUCAAUCUAUGAAGAUUUUCAGCAAAUUUACCGGAGGGACUGUGGGGUACAGUCUUAAGGUCUCUGUUAAUGCUGCAUGAAGAUAAUGCAUUUUCUCAAGAGUUGCAUCGGUUAUGGUUGUGAUGAAGUCAUCAACGCUAGCAUCAUUUCCUUGGCUGCAAGCGAUGUCCAUCACCUCUUGUGCAACUUUUUCUUGUAUCAAGCGGUGCUUGCAGAGCAUGUAGACGAACUAGGACAAAGUGUUGGCACUAGCAUCUUUGCCAGCAAUCAAGAAAUUCAAAAUUAUGUCCCUUAGAUAUUGAUCAGUCAUUGUUUCAGGAUUCUUCACACUCUCGAUCAAAAACCUUGAAAGUAUGUCUUCUUUGACAUUCUUAAAUUCCCAAAAAAGAAAAAAUAAUCAACUUUUAGCAACAAAAAACAAGAACUCAUCUACUGUUACAAAGACUUGAAAAAUACAAGAGAACAUAACUACAUCGGAGUUACAGCCAAACACUAGUGGACAAUUACUAGAUUACUAAAAUUGUUUGGACAGAAAUUAGGUUGAUCUUAUUGUGAAUCCCUCCAUAGGAGAGUGAUAAUUAGAUAUCGACCAUAAGAUGAACUCUAAGGAAAUUUUAUAAUAACAAAAAUAAAAUAAGAUUCUGUUAGAUUAAUGUAUUGAGUCGCCCUAAAUUGAUAAUACAAGUUUCAUCUGGGCGCUGUAUGGUGUGGAAAAGGGUCGGUGCUGUCGGGAUGCUGGGCAAUUAGCCCUGUGUGGUAGGAGUUUCUGGAAAACAGACUAGUGAUUACUGUGUUUCCCAACUCCAUCCAAUAUGUAUCAUGUUCAUGCAUUAAUAAAGUAUUGAUUUAACAAAAAAUAUAUAUAUAUAACCACAAAUUUAAUUAGAGGAAAAUAUGACUCACACGAUCUGGGUAGCAGUUUCUUCUUGGUGCUUAUAACAUUGUGAAUAAAAUUAUCAAUGACUUUGAUAUUCUUCUUGAGGGAGGCUUCAGAGCCAAUAUUAAGAGCCCUUUUCAGCUUCCAAAAAGGAUCCAUAUAGCGCAUGUACACCAGCUCAUUGGCAUCAUCAAAAGCCUUCACAAAGGUAGUUCCUUCUUCACUUGACCCUUCCAUGCAAUUUAAAUCAAUUCCAAACCCAACUUUGAACAUCGAUUCCAUUGUGUAUUUCAUCAACAUGUCCUACACAACAAGAUUACUCCAUAACUUAAACACUCAAAAUUUGACCUUUUGCUCUCUGUUAAAAAAAAAAAUGAAAAAGAUCGAGUUACUCCCUUGGAAUUUCAUAGCCUGACCCAACCGCGUCAUCUCUGAAACAGCUCUAACCAGUUUGACAGCAUUUUUUCUGAAAACAGAGCUACUAAAAUCUCUAAGAACUCUCGUCGAGAACUCGAAGCUCGCAAGCUUACGCUGCUGCCGCCACUUGUCUCCAUCCACCGCAAAAAUCCCUUGUCCCCAAAGAUCUCUAACAAGUUCUUGGUGAUAUGCACCCUUUGCAUAUUUGUCAAAAUUUGUUUUCAAAAUGUGCUCUACGUUUCGCGUAUCGACGGUGAAGAUUAGACUAUACGCAAAAUCAAGUAACCUAAAAGUGGGCAGUUUUUUGGCAAUUUGGGUUUAGUAGUCGUAGAGAUAGUUAAGGUAUAAGAGCUGGUUGAAAACACUGCCCUUCACAGGGGCAUAGUUAGGAUCAUUGAUGGAUUUUCCAGUGAAGAUUCUGAUCAGGACAAAAGAAAGGAUCAGAAAAAGAAAGAGUAGUGGCAAUGAUAUCAACACGAAGAUGGUAGAUAAAAUCUCCAUUAUGAUUUUCUGAUGAAUACUCUGUAAGAAAGCUGUGAUCACAGCCACCUACUUAUUACUUGAAUCAAGGGAUUCCUUCAUUAUUAAAUAACACAGAAAAACCCAAUCCUCUACAUCACCAAUAUGUUGCCAAUGUUCAUGCAUACGUCAUUAAUUGUACCAAUCUGAUUUUUCUACGAUACAAUUAUUAGCCUCAUCGAACCAAAGUUGAUGUCACUUACCUCAAAGUUUUAAAUAAUACUGAUACUAUAUGAUUUUGGACAAAUAAUACCAACUGGAUAUAAUUUCUAACAAAGUACCAGCCACCAACUCCACUUAUAUCCAAUUGUUUUAAAACGAAUAAACAUUAUUUAGACGUCAAGAAAGGUUACGAAAAGAAACUUCCACUAUAAUGAAUUUUAGCUUUAAUUAUAUUUGUUUAGAUAAGGUAUCUUUUUCUAUAAUGAAAUCUUCAAUUAUAGAGUUGUUUAAUCUUUUAAUUGUAUUUUUUCACAGUUAAUAACAAUAUCAAAAGUACCAUCUCUGUUAGUAUAUACAACCUUUAUAGUUACAUUUUAUUUAUAACACUGUUAAAAAGUUUUGUAGUGCUGUCAAAUUUAUAAAAUUAAUAUAAAAAUUAUAAUCUUAAAUCGAAUUUAUUAUAGUGUUCUAGAAUCAGAAGAGUACAAAAGAUGGAAAUAUAUAUAUAUAUAUAACACGUAAAAACAUUGUCCUUAUUACAAGUUACAACAACAACAAUAUUGAAGGAAGGAGACAAAUAAAUGCAGGCAGAUAAACUCACGGGUUUUGGGCACGGAUCAGGUUGCUUCAUUUUAGCUUGGUUCUAGAUUCAGUGGUUGUAUAUGAUGUCUUAUUCAAUUCUAGUUUCAGAUUUAUGUUGGAAUAAGUUCAAAAGCCAAUCACAUAGAUUGUAGUGGGUAUUCUUUGUUAAUUAAUUUAUUAUAACAUUUUAUUAUGGAAUAAGAGAUAUUUCUUUAUCCAUAAAUUGCUUCAUAAUUAGCUACUUUAAUUUAUAAAGGCAAAGCCCUUGGAACAAAUGUACAAAGAAUUAUAAGUGAGUUAUAAUUAUAAGAUCCUUAUGCAUCAAAGUACUAUUCUGAAAUAGUUUAUAACCAUUGUAUUAUCAAAAUAGGACAUUGAUAAUACUCAAAGGCCAACACAUGUUAUGCUUCUUACUUGUAAAAUGAGCAACUAAUCUCAUAAGUUGAAAUAUAGAAAUACUUAGAUCUAACAUCUAGGUGCUUGUAUAGAAUGUAGGUUUAUUGAACAUGACUCACCAUGAGAAAUCUAUUUGAUAACACACUAAUGUUUAUGGAACACUUCUUAUGAAUCAGUCGUAUAAGUACUCCCAAGAUUUGAGAUGCCAAGUUAUUUUAUGUGUGGAGUACUAUACUUUGACUUCAUCUCUCUAGAUCCUAAAUAAGGAUAUUUAAAAAGGAUGAAUAUUGUGUAUAGUAUGAAGCACAUAAAAACAAAUGAGUGACCAAGAGUGGAAUAAUCACUCCAAGUGAUUUAAAAAAUAUAUUCUAUUUGUUUUUUUAUACAUACUAGUCAUAUGAAAUCUUUAGCCAAUGCAACUUAGAAAUUAGGAAAGGAGUUUCCUAAGUCUUAGACAAAACUAGUGGUGAAGCUUAAAAGAACCAAAAGAAAAGGAUAUGAGAGUAGACACUGUACCAUACUUUCGUUUCUUUUAAGAUAUAUAUGAUAAGAGAAUUAAUUAUACUAAUAAAUUGGACAUUAAAAGGUUGUCAAAGAACCUUUUACUCUCCUUACAAUUGGGUGAUCAUGAUAGGUUCCUAGAUCCCAUUUAUGGUCUAUAAUCAUAAAGUAGUUGAUAUGAUCAAUGAUAAAUUCAAAGUAGUUUGAAUUUAUCUAAUCAUAAAUUUAAUUGUAGAUUACAUUCUAAGAUCAUUGUCAACAUGUUAUGAACCUAAUGGAUCACACACAAUAAGUUGCAAUAAGAAUUAAAUUGAAAUUGUGAUGAUUUAAGUUGGACUUAAAUUAUACACUAAGUUUUAAUUUUCAAAGAUUUAAUUAAAAUUAGUUUAAUUAAGUAUAGGGUCAAUAUUAUAAGUAGUUAUAAUAUUGAGGCCUUCAAUAAAAACCAAAGCUAUCUUUUAAACUAGGUAUAAAAGCUCACUUUUCAUCCAUUCUUCACAAGUUGUUGAACAUACACAAAACCUAACUACUCUAGCCACCGACCCUUGUGAAAAUUCUUAGUGAAGAGAUUUUCUUGUGGCAUAAGGCAAAAAGUGAGUGAGGAGUGAAAAGGACAAUCGGUUGUCCACAUUGCUAGCACAUUGAUGUGGUUGAAAAAGAUUUUAUUGUAAUCGUGUGUGCAACCAUUGAAGGUCAAACAAUUGAGUGGCCCGGGUUCUCUUUUUUUUUUUGUGGUGUAUCGUGAGUUCAAAAAGGAGAAAAAAGAUGUCAUCGUGAUUACCAUAUCACUUAACUAGGUAAUAUUAUUUUCAAAAUAUUACUUUUGUUUGAUUGUGUUAAAACACCAAAAAAAUUCAAGGGAUACGACAUAAAAAAAUUCUGUUUUAUUUUAUUUUAUUUCAAUCUAUUUAUUUCAUUGCGUAUGUGCAAUUCGAUCACACUCUCAUGCCGUUUUUCUUACAAUAUAUAUGACCGACGUGCUAAACUUAAAGGAGGCAUCUCUUUGUACUAACACUUUGAAGUAUUUUGGCGUAAUCCAAUAUCUUACCUGCAUGCACAUGUUUCUUAGGUUAGUAACUGAAUUCAUUAUUGGCAAGAAUUGGCCUUUGACUGAAGAGAAAAUAAAGUGGAAAAAUGAAGGAAAAUUAAGUAGGUGGUAAGGAAAGCUGAAGGGAAUCGAAAUACAAUUGCUCAAAGAGAUCCUGGAGAGAAGAACAGAAUCGAAAAAGAAAUGAAAGUUUAAUGGGUUGCACUUUCUUUUUCCUUUUCAUUUCCAUUUUUCUGAAAGUUCAACGGAAGUAGACAUAUGCCUCACGGGCUUAACAGCAUUAUUUUCGGCUGAGAAAAAAGAACUAUGUAUAUAGGAACGUAGGCUAGAAUCUAGCUCGCCUGACCCUGCCCAUGAACUUCAAUGUUAGGCUUUGUGUACAUCAAUGAUCCAACCCUAAACUGAAAAGGCCCAACACACAAGCAAAAACAAAAGUUAUUUAUGGUCGGAGGUCUAUCUCCGCCAUGCCACCAUCAGUGUUGGGGCAUGGAGUUACGGCUCAACUGUUGGCCAGAAAUAGUAGAAAUAAAUAAAUAAUUUGUCCUAAAUGGGAAAAUUAAAGAAAGAUUAGAAUAGGGAAUUAGCCAACUAUCAAAAGUGGAGUAUGGGUUAAGGUUAGAAUCAGAAAUUAAUGCAUUGGAUUUGUUUUACCGAUCUUCAAUACAAGGUGACCCAAAGUUUCAUCUUCAACAUCAUUAGAAAAGCAAAUCCGAAGUCGACUUGAAACAAUCCAGUUGUUGUGCUGCACAAAACAAGAAAAGGAAAGUGGAAGUAAUGUUAUUGCAACCAGCAAGGGGUUGAACAUUUUUCCAACCGACAAGUUAUCAUGUUUCUGGGAAUUGGUUUAAGUUGUCCUAGGAACAGCACAAAGUUGAAGGCCUCCUCGUAUCUGAAGAGUGAAUGUUACUCUGUAUGUUGCAAUUUUUGUAUCAUCAGCUAAUUUGAAGCGGAAGUAGCGAAUAAGGGCAAUUGAGAAUAUCUUCAUCUGCCGGUACGCGAAUUCCUUGCCUAAACAAAUUCGAGGACCCCCUGCGGGAAGUAAUGCAAAAGCCAAAACAAAAAUUGACAAUAAAGAUACAUACGUGUAGAUAUAUUUAUUAAGAAGAGAGUUCAAACAUGAAAUGUCACGAAUUUGAAAGGCGAUUCUGGUUGGAAAACUCCAUUUUUAAGCCAUCUUUCAGCCGAAAGACCUCAGCGUCUUCUCCCCAAAUGGAAGGUAUUCUACCCAUGGAAUAGGGCACAUAGGCAACCUCAUCUCCUUUCUUGACUUUGCGUCCAUCCGGGAAAAUGUCAUCCGCCUGUGAACACCUUGCAUCCUUGAUGUACAAUAAAGAUACCAUAUUACCCACGUUUGUAUGUAAUUAUUGAAAUGCUAUGAAGAAAUGCCUAUAGUUAAGAUGUUGUAAUAUGACCCAUCCAUAUAUUACAACAACAGAAAUCUUAGAUCCUAAGCUUCAAACGGUAGUAUUUUCAGCACAAUAAGCACGAAGCAAAAAUCAAUCUAUGAAAAUUUUCAGCAAAUUUACCCGAGGGACUGGAGGGUACAGUCUUAAGGUCUCUGUUAAUGCUGCAUGAAGAUAAUGCAUUUUCUCAAGAGUUGCAUCGGGUAUGGUUGUGAUGAAGUCAUCAACGCUAGCAUCAUUUCCGUGGCUGCAAUUGAUGUCUAUAACUUCUUGUGCAACUUUUUCUUGUAUCAAGGGGUGCCUGCAGAGCAUGUAGAAGAACCAGGACAAAGCAUUGGCAGUAGUGUCUCUGCCAACAAUCAAGAAAUUCAAAAUUAUGUCCCUUAGAUAUUGAUCAGUCAUUGUUUCUGGAUUCUUCUCACUCUCCAUUAAAAACCGUGAAAGUAUGUCUUCUUUGACAUUCUUAAAUCCCCAAAAAAUAAUCAACUUUUAACAACACAAAACGAGAACUCAUCAUGUACAUUACUGUUGGCAUGACUUUAAAAAAAUAAAUUAAAUGUGCUAUACCUUUAAUUAUUUAUCUCUUUUUAAUCAAUUGAAAUUUUGCUUAUUCACCUUUUACUUUGUUAUAUAAAAAAUUUAUAAAAAAAAAAUAACGAAAGCAUUAACUAUCCAAGUCAUAAUAAGUUUAAACAACCACCAAAUUUAGGGCAAAAUAUGACUCACAGGAUCUGGGUUCAUUGCUAGCAGUUUCUUCUUGGUGCUUAAAACAUUGUGAAUAAAAUUAUCAAUGACUUUGAUAUUCUUCUUGAGGGAGGCUUCGGAGCCAAUGUUAAGAGCUCUUUUCAGCUUCCAAAAAGUAUGGAUAUAGCGCAAGCACACCGACUCAUUGGCAUCAUCAAAAGCCUUUACGAAGGUAGUUCCUUCUUCAAUUGACCCUUCCAUCCAAUUUAAAUCAAUUCCAAACCCAACUUUGAACAUCGAUUCCAUUGUGUAUUUCAUCAACAUAUCCUACGCAACAAGACUACUCCAUAACUUAAACACUCAAAAUUUGACCUUUGGCUCUCUGUUUUAAAAAAAAAAAAAAAAAAAAAAACAGAUCGAGUUACUCACUUGGAAUUCAAUAACCUGUCUCUACGCCGUUAGCUCCGGAACAGCUCUAACCAGUUUGGCAGUAUAUAUUCUGAAAACAGAGCAGCUAAAAUCUCUAAGAACUCUCGUCGAGAACUCGAAGCUCGCAAGCUUCCGCUGCUACCGCCACUUGUCUCCAUCCACCGCAAGAAUCCCUUGUCCCCAAAGAUCUCUAACAAGUUCUUGGUGAUGUGUACCCUUUUCAUAUUUGUUAAAAUUUAUUUUCAAAACGUGCUCUAUGUUUCGCGUAUCGGCUGUGAAGAUUACACUACGUGCAAUACCAAGUAACCUGAAAGUGGGCAGUUUUUUGGCAAUUUGUGUUUGGUAGUCGUAGAUAUGGUUAAAGGAUAAGAGCUGGUUUAAAACACUGCCCUUCACCGGGGCGUAGUUAGGAUCAUUGAUGGAUUUACCGGUGAAUAUUCUGAUAAUGAGAAAAGAGAGGAUUAGAAAAAGGGACAGUAGUGGCAAUGAAUUUAAUAUCCGUCCAUGGAUGCUGAAGCAUAAAUUGCAGUACAGUCUACCAUGAAGAAAGAAAGAUCAAUGAACAUGAACCAGGAACCAGGAACCAGGGGCCAAUGUUUCAUUGCAAACCAGCAAAUGCAGAACGACAAGAACCAGGAUCUCGAUCAUAUCUUAUUAAAUUCUAAUUUCAUAUAGGACCAACAUUCUAAGCUGUCGAGGAGGCAUCUCGAUCUUUGUACUAACACUUUGAAGUAUUUUGGCAAGCAAUUCUUCAUGCGCUGAAAUUCAUUGAAUCAUCCUUGGAACAGCACAAAUAUGAAGGCUUUUGUUCAUUUGAAGAGAGAAGGGGGUCCUAUAAGUUAUAUUUUCCAUGCCAUCCGCUAAUUUGAAGCGGAAGUAGCGAAUAAGAGUAAUCGAGAAUAUCUUCAUCUGCCGGUGCCGGUAGCCUAAACAAAUACGAGCACCCGCCUGAAAAAAAAAACUAGGAUAUUAAUUGUAGAACAAUUACAUAGAUCCAUAUACAUAUAAAUUGAGAAAAAAAAAAAGAAUUCUGACAUAAAAUAUUAUGAAUUUGAAAGGCGAUUUGGGUUGAAAUAAAUAGAUUAAAGGAGUAAUAAAUAAUGGUUUAUAAAAUAAAUAACAAUCCUUAUCCUUGCAUCACAUGAAUUACAACUAUUUAAUGAAAAGGAAAAGAAUAUUACGUAACCACAUCACUCUCGUACUUGAGGGGAACCUUUGGGAGGGAAAUGCGACCUAAUUAAUUGAUAAAAUUAUUAUUGUCAUAUGAACGCAAUCUUUUUUCCUUUUUUAUUUUCUUUUAAUUAACAAUUUUGUCUUAUUAUAAUCAAAAUAUUUUGCUUGUACGAAACAUUUAAUAGUUAAUUAAUCACUUUACUUUUGAACCCGAUUUUGGCAAGUUCUUUACAAUAAAAAUCUGAAUUAAGCUUACCCUAAUUAAAUCGGUUUAAUUCGAUUCAUGAGCACCUUUACAAUUAUCCAUAACCAUCCUGUUCAAAGUCCAAUUUGGACUUUAUAAUUAGAAUCUGUUAAAGAGGGCUGAUUAAUCAGACAUAACUCUGAAAUAACCAAGUAGGAUUUCUCAUUAAACCAAGUAAAAAUAGAAAAAUAUAUGGUAGAGUGGGCCCAAGUUAUCUGGGCUACAAUCCAGGCCCAUGGAAAGCUCUAGGCUCAAAUGACAUGGGCGGGUUCUAAAAUUCAAAUUCCUGAUCAUCGCCCAUACCGUCUUCCCCUGCUGCUUCUCCCUGAUUUCAAUCCCCGAAUCCUUGUACAAUCUCUGGAAAGGAAAAGAAGAAAUCAAUUUGGGCAUCGUUUCGGAAUCAGGGAAAUGAUUUCCCAAAGCGAAGAAGGAGAAGGAAAUCCAAAACGAAAAUGGUCCUUGGAAGACUUCGAGAUCGGAAAACCCCUGGGCAAAGGCAAAUUCGGUAGAGUCUAUCUCGCCAGGGAAGUCAAGGUACUCCCCUCUCUUCUUCUGUUCUUCUUUUUUUCCGUCGUUAAAACGCCUUCUCUAUUCACUCCAAAUGUUCUUGAGGGGGAUUCUUUAUAUCGUUUUGUAGAGCAAAUACAUUGUGGCGUUGAAGGUUAUAUUCAAGGAACAGAUAGAGAAAUACAGGAUCCACCAUCAGUUGAGGAGAGAAAUGGAAAUUCAAACCAGCCUUCGUCACCCUAAUAUACUGCGGCUUUACGGUUGGUUUCACGACAGCGAACGAAUUUUCUUGAUUCUUGAGUAUGCUUUUGGGGGUGAGCUUUAUAAGGAGCUUAGAAAAAAUGGUCAUCUCAGUGAGAAGCAAGCUGCCACAGUAAUGACCCAAUCUCCAUUUUUUUCAACUUAUAUAUAGAUUUUGGUUUCUAAAAUUGUCACGAUUUUUGAGUUUUUUUUUUUCAGUACAUUGCAAGUUUGACAAAAGCGUUGGCAUAUUGUCAUGAGAAACAUGUAAUUCACAGAGAUAUCAAGCCGGAAAAUUUGCUGCUUGAUCAUGAGGUAAGCCGCUGUCAUUUCAUUUCUUUUUUCUUCUUAAUUUGGCAUGCACUUGUUUUCCAUAACUGUGCCCUGUUCAGAAAUCCAUUCAAGAAGUAUAAAUUGGUCUGUCUGAUAUGUGCAUUAGGCCAGCAUGGGAAUUUUUGUCUGAAAUCAAAUCUUGGGUUUAAUGUUCUGUUGAUUGUGUCUGAAUGUAAGUAAUUCCACUAUUACUGUACAGGGUCGGUUGAAGAUUGCAGACUUUGGAUGGUCCGUACAGUCAACAAGCAAGAGACGCACAAUGUGUGGAACUCUGGAUUAUUUAGCGCCAGAAAUGGUGGAAAACAAAGCUCAUGAUUAUGCAGUUGAUAACUGGACUCUAGGCAUCCUUUGCUAUGAGUUCCUCUACGGUGCUCCUCCAUUUGAGGCCGAGAGUCAAAGUGAUACAUUCAAAAGGUAUGCAGGAAUGGGUGGUUUCUUGAUAUUUUAUCUAAUGUAGAUUGGAAUAUGGUGUGGUGACCAAGGUAGUGACCCAAGCUGUACAUUACAGGAUCAGGGACGUUGACCUGAGCUUCCCAUCCACGCCUCAUGUCUCAAUGGAGGCUAAAAAUCUCAUCAGCCGGGUAACUCUCCCCACCAGUCCCUCAACUACCUUUAAAUAGACAUUGGUUAUGAAGAAUGAAUGUAAAUAAUUUGACAUCUGAAAUUCCAAGUACUUGAAUCUUAUUUGCAGCUUCUUGUGAAGGACUCUUCAAAACGGCUCCCUCUUCAGAAGAUUAUGGAACACCCUUGGAUAAUCAAGAAUGCAGAUCCUAUGGGUACCUGCAAAAAGUAGGACCUUUUUCAAGUUUCAGAUGUAAUGCUAUAAGGCUGUCAAAAAUGACUAGCAUAGUGUGCAAAUACCUGUGAAUGUAUUGUUCAAACUUGGAGAAGACCAAAGUGGGUUUCAAAGGUUUUAUUGUAACCCUCCAUCAUUGUAUACUCUAAAGGCAAGGGUCUUUUUGCUAUAUUAAACUUUCUGCAUAUCUUUAACUUUUGUCAAUCCCAUUGUUGGAAAUAAGUGAGUGCAGAAGUUACAGUUAUGUUUCUCUGAUUUGCUUAUAUCUAUGCAUAGUGUAAAUUUAUAAGAUAGUGAAAUGUGACAAAAUCAACACAAACCAAAUAUAUUUCAGAUGUGAAAAUAUUCAUGGCGUCGCCCGGACUCGAACCGGAGACCUUCAGUGUGUUAGACUGACGUGAUAACCAACUACACCACGACACCACAUGAUGAAAAGCAGACAAAGAUAGCAAAUCGUUUGUUAUGGGGCUGUUAACGGUCCCGCACGAAAUUCAACCUUCCUACACAAGAAGAAAAGGAAGAAGCCUUAAUAGUUAAUGGGAUUUCAGUUUUUUCAUGAAAAAAUUGAUCUUAAACAAAACUUCUAAGGCCAUAGCCAGCGUUCACUUCCUCGGACACUUGUUUUGCCAGUUCCAUUGCUUUGGGUUUAUUCAACAACUUAGCUCUCUUUUGUCCAGAAUGGUGAGUCGAAAAUAAGUCAAAGCGUGAUGAACUCCCCAGCCGCUUCUCAUGAACAUCAGGUGCCACUUGAGGAUCAUAUCCCGCAGAAGCCAUUAACAUUAACCUGAUGUAAUCUGCCUCUGCCUCCCUCCUUCAGUUCAAAAACAAAGAGAGAGAAAAGAAAUUAAGAUGAAUGCAAUUGUUACUUCAUAUUGGAGGAAAACUGAAUUAAAUUUCCAGCAUGUCACUAGGAACUUCUACAUAAUCUUCUAGAAGAACAAGAAAAACCAAGUCCUAGAGGCUAAAAUCAGGGUAAUCAUGUUUAGCAGAAAUCAAGCACACAGCAAAUAGUUACUAAUUAGUAGAUGCAUGAACCAUUUGGCAACAAGCAGGAACCCAGCAUAUGUAAUGUAAUAGAUAGCUGAGAGGACAUAAAUACAAAUUUUUUUUUUUGAAAGAUAGAAUUUUGUUAAUGAUAUAAGCUAGAAUGCCAUGGAGAGAGACUCCUUUGGGCAUCGAAAUUUGGUACCGUAUAGUUAAGCAGCCUUGAACAGGUUUGUGAAGUGAUCUUGUACUGAUGUUGGAGCACUAAUCCUUUAUCCAUUGCUUGAAGUAUCUUUCUAGCAAUGGACUGAACCCGAAUGGCACGAGGAUCAGAUGGGGGCAGAAAUUUCCCUUUAAGUUCCUUCUCAAACCUCUUCCAUUGAUAUUCCCCAACUUCUUCUCCAGUUUAUCAGAUAGUGCGUGAUGAAACCUUUCUGAGUAUGGAACUCUUUCUAUAUUACCCCCAAAAAUUAUGACCAACAAACAAGAACCCACUAGAGCAGUAGUAAUUACCUCACCAGCAGUACACUUUCCUAAUGAAACCCUUAAAAUGGCUCUAGCCAAGUAUUUUGUAGCACUUUCUGAGGCCCUGACAAGGGCCCUGGAUGUUCUUUGCGUUUGUGAGUUCGGAUUGGAAUGAUGAAACCUCCUUGUUCCUCCAAUAAAACCAUGUGAAAUUAGUCGUCCGGUACCGUCAGCACCAGCCAAGGACACUGCAGAAACCAGAUGGAACCUUGUUAAACUCGCUCCGGAAAGUAAAGGGCUAUGGCCUUGGGGCUUGAACCCUUGGAAUCGAUGGUGAAAUCCGGCUUGAACAAAAAGAUCGAGAAGCAUUCAAAAAUAUCGGCUUUGUUUUCAGUUUCAUGUAGGAAAAAACUUGACUAUGGAAUCUGAACUUCCACCAAUAUCAAGUGAUUUCUUCUCUGUGAUUGUUGACUACUUGAAGGAAGACCAAUAAGAGUUAAUACAAUCCCAUUGCCCUUUUUUCUAUAUUUCUCUUUUUUUUAAAAUAAAUUGUUGCUUGUUAAACAAGAAACCUCUCUCCUUUUUUUACCUCGAGGUGAACUCUUUCCAUCAUCAUGAUUUUAUUAAUUUAAUUUAUGGUUGGAAAUUUAAAAAAUUACUUAGAAGAAUUAUGAGUAAUAAUUAACAAUGAUCUCAUUGUUAUCACUAAUUAAAAAUAUAAUGAGUAUCGUGUAUUAUUUAUAUUUGAAUUCAAAAAAAUUUUAAAUAGUAAAAUUAUUAUUCAUCACAGGUUUGAGUAGUGAUAUUAAAAUAUUUAUUAUUUUAAUUUAUUAUAAAUAAUAAUUUUUAACAUUAAAUUUUAAUUUUAUAUUUUUUAUAAAUAUUUUAUAAUUAAGGUAAUAUUUAUUAAAGUUUAUUAAUUAUCCUAAAUAUGAAUUUAAAUUUAAAUUUUUUUAUGAACUUUAAUUUAUUAAUUUACUUUUUAUUAAUAAUAUACAUAAAAAUUAUUUUAAAUUUAUUAUAAUUGAGUAUUUAAUGAGUUCGAAUAUUUAAUAUAUCUAAAAUAUUCAAGUAUAGGUUCAAGUAAUAAUUUUAUAACUUAAUUGAAAUAUUAUAAGAGUUCAAUAUCUUAUCAAAUAAUAAAAUUCGGAUUAAAAUAUCUAAAAAUUACAAAUAUCUUAACUGUUAACAUCCCUAUACUUACAAGUAAUUUUAUAUAUUUUUUAGAAAAAAAAUUAUUCUCAAUUAAAUUUAUUAUUUCAAACCGUUAAAAAAAAUCUUUUAAAAGAGAAAUGGAAACAGAAUUCCUUUGGGAGGAUGAAAAAAUAUGAAACUAACUAAUACCGGCUGCGCUUGAAACUCCCAAGUAACAACACAAACUGGUACGCACUAAAAAACACUACAAACUCUUAUAGGAUCUGAGUAAAGUUAAGCAGAGAUUCAUCACAGAUCUUCCAACUAAUGGCAAUUGCAGUACAAGAUUGAAUAGAAAUACCCAAUGGGAAAAUUAAAACAUUGGAGUAUAAUCAAGGAGCUUAUACAAGGCCAUGUAUCAAGGAACUCAUCUGCUUUUGCCCACCAGAACACACUAAGGAAGGCACCCUUUCUCAUCUUAACAAAAUUUUCAAAUGCAUUGGUACAUGAAAAAGAGGUCAGAGAUCUGAUCAAAAAGAAGAAAUGUGCCGGGCAUGAAGCUUCGCUGAUCACCAUUGAUCUCCGACUUCUUGAGUAUAGCUCACUGCAGAAUGACACCUAAUACUCUCGCUUGUCUUUAUGAAGAAACACCUCAAUCAUCUUGAGUUGGCAUAAAAGUGGAUCUAAACUCAAAAAAGGUUUAACCUUCCACAAAUAAGAUCACAUCAAGAAACAUUACCAUUCUCGAAGACAGUGAUGGUGGUGUCACUGAUGGUAGUCUCACUGCUACUGCUCGUACUUUUUUCAUCUUGUGUAAUCAGAUGAGGACUCGGAAUUGAAAUAGAAAGGCUGGUGCUCAGGACUGCACAAGCUGCUUUGCUGGCUACUGUUAAUCUACUAGGUGGGCCAAUAGUAGGAACGGCAACAGGCUGAGAAACCUCCACAUGCUUUUUUGCACCUCUGUGCAUGUGCCGCGCACAAUAUUUCUGAUCAGGAAUAACAUCUCUGCUGCACCGCCAUUUUUUCCCAUCUGUUCUCCUACAUCUCCCUGGUUCAAGUUCCAUUUCGUUUUUGUAACCAUGGGAACUGUUGCAGCCUAGAACUGAAAUAAUAAUAACAAGAAAAGUCAUUCUAAUUAGUGUCAAAAGGGUUCUACAAGGGAUUAAACUGUUAUGUUCAAUGCUGUGCAUAACAAUACAUGGUGAUUAGAACUAAUUCUAUUCAGAUAGUACAAGCACUAAUAACAAUGAUUAUGGUAAUAGACUUCACACUGCCCAGCACUUUGGAGCAUGUAUAUCAUAAUCAUGAACUUCAAAAACUAAAAUGUUUUAGAAAAAAAAGGUAGAAUAACAUAAAUAUAAAGAACCUUCUAAAAAAUCUUUUGGGCAAAAAAUUACAUGCUAACAUACAAGAGUGGCAAACAAUGGGGACCAUCAAAUGAUUCAUACAAGUAAAAACCAUGAACCCAUGCAGUUUAAGCAAAUUUGAAAGACUUAUAAAUUAAAUGAUAUAUAAAAUAUCAUAGCCAAAUCAGAAAGGGGAUAGGAGGGUCCCGAAAAUGGGCUAGCUUUAGGAAUGAUAACAAGAGCAUUAUUUCAGUUUUUACAACACUACCUUGAAGAACACUCUUUGGAGAAAAGCCCACACCAGGGGAUAUACUAUUACCAACAGUGGCAUUGUUUCCAAUCUUGCUGCUUUUAUUGAUGAUAAUAUUAUCACUAACAGAGUGUUUCUCUUCUCUCUUCUUUUUAGUAUUUGGGAAGUUUUUGUUCCUUUUGCAAUCAUUUUUCUCAUCAUUGUUUGUUGCGGUAAUGAUGGUAGUGCUAGUGGUGGCAAUUGUGGAAAUGGAGUUCCUAUUGCUCCACACAUUGUUGCUAUCCACAGCAGUGGUAGCAGUUCUCUCAUGGCUGGUGCUGGUAUUACACGAAGAUGGGUUCGUGUAUUGAGAACUUACGGUGGCUGAAAGGUUUUUUGAGUUUUCUGAUUCUUUAUUUGAUCUUCUUGAUAGAGUUGUAUCAGGCAAAGUAAAUUGAGAAGAUUCCACAGGCUUUCUUGAACGCUGACGACCCCUAUGCAUGUGCUGCGCACAAUACUUCUGAUCAGGAAUCACAUUCUUACUGCACCGCCAUUUCUUCCCAUCAGUUCUUCUACACCUCCCUGGCUCGGGAUUCAUCAUGCUCCUAUAAUCAAAUCCCUGAGGACUGAAUCCUACAACUGAAACAAGAAAAGCGAAAUAAGUAUUCUAAUUCUUCGUCCUAAUUCACAUCACCGAAACAAAACAUUUUAUUGAAAGAAAAACUCCCUUUCAAUGUCUGUCCGGCUAAAUUUAAACUAAUGUGGACCGAAUUCAUCUAAUAAUUUAACUUACGUUAAAAUUGAUCGAUGAACCUCAAAUUCCAAGUACAAGUAGGCAAGACCUUGUCAAGCUUACAACGAGACUCAAUUUCCCAGGAAUAAUUAACAUUUAAUUUAUGCUUAACAAUUAACAGAAGACGGUCGCAAAUUCCAAGCCUAAUUAACAUAAAAACAUCUUUUCUUUUCUUUCCGAUAAUUGAACAUCAACACAUUCAUGAAAAAUUAAAAAUAAACAAAAUAAAUUAACCUCGACUUUUAAGAGUAACAAUCUCCAUGAAACUUGCUCUGACAAAUUCAUGAAAGAAAAAGCAAACAGAAAUUUCUAACGAACAAACAGAAAACAUAAGAAACUCAAUCUAACAAAAAAAAAACAAAUUCCAUAACAAAAAAAGAAAGAAAAAUUCUGACUCUAGGGAAGAGAAAAGUUACAAAGAAGAAAGCUUACAGCUUGGAUACUGAUCAUAGAUGCCGCCAUGAGCAGAGCCAGAGGAAGCAACGCUUUUCCAAAUGGGUAUAACAAGGUGAAGAGGAACUGGGAUUCCACCCGCUAUGUACUUGUAGAUAAGCGCUUGUAACUGCAGCUCAUGCAACUGUGCUGUCGUGAACACACACUUUCCGUGUUUGACCACGGGUUUCUCCGUCGUGUUCCCAUCAAUCCCGAGGCCCAACCUGAUCGACGGCGAUCCUUCCUUCCUCUUCUCCUUCUCUUCCAUCUUCACCGUCCCUCCCCUCUCCUCUGACCUCUCCCGGGUCCCACUCCCACCACCACCACCACCUGCAAUUAAGACAAGCUCAAAAUUAAUUAACCAACCGUAAUCCGUUCCAAUCCUUAAAUUUAGGAUAAAAAAGACAAUACCAGAAUCUGGAAGAGGUGGGCUUUGAACCGGUUGGGCCAGCAUUGACGACAUAGCAAAGGAACGACCGAAACCGGUGAUAUCAAUUACAAGAUUACUAUGCGUUUGUCUUUGAACGUCGCGGAAGAGAGAAGAUGGUACAGAUAUUCGUAAAAACUACUGAAAAGCGGACUUUCAAAAGAGAGUUCCUUGAACCUAAACAUGAUCACUUGCUCGGGGCCAGUUUUAUGAGGGAGCGACGAGUGUGAGUGUGUGUGACAUAAAGUCAGGAUUAAAGCGCGUGUCAGGAUUCUGACAACAUCAGCCCUUUUUCGCAGUCUCCGCAGGCAAAAUUCAGCUUCUUUAACAUGCUUACAAAGGUCAAAUCCAACUCUCACAAUUCGGGUGUGACAUGGACGGUCCAAUGAAACUUUGAAAGAGCCGGUGCUGUUUGCAGACGGUAACAAAAGUUGGUAGGUUUGUGUCACGCGCACUGUCAGAUCGAUUCCCUGGCACUAGCAAUGAGCAGAGGAGGACACGUCACUGAUUUCAGUUAUGGUGGGUCCCACACUAAAGCAAGGCUUUGCUAGCUUAGGUGGGGCCCCGGUUCUGCACGGUCAUCAGACAGGUGGAUUGUUGGAAGUGCCACCAAGUGUUUGAUGGUUGCUUAUUCGUCUUGUCGUUUGUUAUUGUUUGGGUUCAAUGACAGUUUGCUUUUAAAGCCCAUAAAAUUUCAACUGAUCUUUAGUCCAAAAUUAAUUGGAUUUGAAGUUCGGCCUAGUAAUUAUUGAAAAGAGUAAGUUCAAUCCAAACAACCCUCCAGGAUAGCUUGGCCCAGCACUAUAUUCCCUUCCUCAAACAUACUACUAGAUAUGAUUCAUUGCAAAUUACAAGUUCUAUGUUUUUUAUAUGAAAGUAGGAUAACGAUAGGAUCCAACUAAUCUAAGCAUGCAAAUAUGAGAUUAUUAUUAUUAAUUUAAAUGUAAAUAUUAUCACAUGAAUCAAAAAAUUUUAUACAAUCUUAACUAAAAAUACUCGAAAUUAGAAACAAUAUGAUACCCACAAAAAUUUGUCUAGUCUCAUCAAUCAAGAUAACUACUAUCUUUUAUACAUUUUGAGCUUUAAUUCAUUGGGUAAGACGAAAAGGGAACUCAUGUUGAUACAAGUGAUGUCAGAUGACAUUACCGAAGUGUUAAAAUUUUCUAUUAAUUAUAUUAUUUAUUUAUAGUUUUAUGUAGUUAAUAAUAUUAAUAAAUUUAUUAAUUUUUUAAUUAUUGUUAUUAUUUUAGUUAUAAUAUUUUUCUUGAAUACACUCCUGAUAAGAUAUGGUAUUUUUGUUUGCGAGCUGUGGGUUCUCUCUUCUUUCCUAUCUCCCCUCACAGCGGUCGGUGAAAAUACAAAAAUCCCACCUGGAAAAUUUUCCUUUAGAAAUUGCUCUUUUUUCCUGGCAUCUGCACGUGCAUAAAAACAGUUGCAUCCAACCCCAGUUCAACUUCCAUGCAAAAAGUUCUCCAGUUGUCACCACGGGUGGAGGCAGACAACGAGAGGACCCAGCUAUGUUUCUUUGAAAUCUUUAAUGGAGCAACAUUGUCAUUUGCCACGUAGCAUUUUCAACGGGAAAAACAGCCUUUGCACAUUCCUCCUUGUUUUAUUUUAACAGUGUGAUGCUACUUUGUUGCCGACAAAUUUAAGUUGCCGAAAAUAAGUGAAUCACCCUAUUAUCACAUUCUGUGGUACAAACCAAAUAUAUAUCUCGUGGCUACAAACAGCUAAUUGCCUUCCUCCUUAUUUUAGGAGUAUAAUAUCUAAAAAUUCUCAAAUUAUAAAAAUAAAUAAAUCAAUCUUUAAUUUUUUAUUACAUUUAAUUGAUCUUUUACAUUUUCAUUUUAUGUUGAACACGCCUUUAUUAGUUAUUUUAUUAGUAAAGAUGAUAAUAUUUUUUUUAUAUUAUAUAAUACUAAUGUGACUUAUUCACUUAUUACAAUAAAUAAUGAUGUAAUAUGAUGAAAUAGUCAUGUAACAAUCUCACACUCUACUCUUAUCAUGAUAUAACAUGAUAAAUUUCAUUUUAAAUAAUAACAUAAAAUUUUAUUUGUUUAAAAAAUAUAUAAUAACUUAAUUAAAUAUAUAUCUUAAUCCGUAAAUUACCUUUGCAAUCACCCGGCCAUUGCGUUGAUGCUAAAGGGACAUAUGUCAGCAGGUGAAAAAUAUUAGUUCCCACUUUAGUUUUGUCAAAAGGUUAAAUCUUGUGAAUGAAGAAAUAUAUAUAUAUAUAUAUUAUCAUUCACUUUCUCACCGCACGAGAAGGAAAAGAAGAAAAAAGAUGAGAAAUUGAUAUUCUUAUUGUGCUCGUUUGUUUACAGCUGAAAGGGAUUUGAUUGCCUUGCUUCAAUUUGAGGCAUGCAAAGAUGCCCCCAUCAGUAACUGCAUUAUUGCCUCUAAAACAACUUCAUGUUACUCUAAAAAAGUCUAACCCCCAAAAGGGUAAGAGUAGGAGACAUUAAAGUUCACCUGCAGAGUUAAAAGCCUGAUUAAUUAACGCAUUUGAGUUUUUUUCUAAAUCAUAUUGUGAUUUCUUUUUCCUCUGUCUGUAUUUUAUGAAUAAUUUUUGUUCUCAUAAAGUUAUUCGUUUAAUUUCGUCUACUAAAAACAUUAAAAUAUUUUUAAUUUAAAAUUAAUUUAUUUAUUCACAUUUUAAGAUAUAUUUAUAAUUUUACUAUAUAAAAUUCAUAGGUUAACCUCUAAAGAAAAUGUCAGUAAAAUUUACGGAAAAAAAAAAAGAAAAUGGAAAUGAGGAGAAGGAAUGAUUGUUUGUCUGCUACUAUUAUAGUUUAGUCUAUUAACAGAAUUGAAAUGAAAAAGGAUGGUAGCUAGCAUUGAAGUUAUGCACUAUUGGUAAAAGAGAAGGCUGAUAGAUGUUUUCUUUUUUUUAGUAAAGGGGAGAACAUUAUGUUUAUGAGAUGCUGAGGGCCACGCAAACAAGAGACCAAAAGGACAAAUUAAGUUGCAGAAUAUUGAUGACUGAGGGAAUCUGAAGAUUAUGGCUGGGGUGUGGGAAGUGGCGUGGGGUACAAGCUUAUAAAAGGGGGAUCCUCUGGAUCAAUCAUGAUUGCUUUGCUGGCAUCAAUUUCAUUAAUAAAAAGGAUUUAUAUUCCAUAAACUAAGUGAACGCUGUCACUGUCUUUAUCAUUUAAUAUCAGAAUAUCAUUUUAUAUAUGUGGAAAAGUAAAUAUUUAAAAAAUUUUCAAUAUAAAAAUUUAUUUGUUUUGAUUUAAAAUAUUUUUUAAAAAAAUGUUAACUUUUAAAUUUAUUUAUUAAUAAUAAGAUAAUAUUUGAUUUAUUGAAAAUAUAUAAAAUUUAUAAAUCGAUAAUGUAUUAAAUAUAAAUAAAAAAAUUCUUUUGAUAAAUCACUUUGCUAUGAUCUAUUAAUACUAUUAGUUGUAUUAUAUUCCAUAAAUUGUUAAUGUGUUUUAUGUAAACACUAUCACUCAAUUACAUAGUAUCACUUCCCUUUGUAAAUAUGUAAAGAUAAAAUUUUAAAUUUAUGAAUAUAUUUGUUUAAAAUUUAUAAUUUUUAAAUUUAUUUAUUAAUAACACGAUCACAUUUGAUUUAUUGAUAAUGUAUAAAAUUUAUAAACAGAUAGUGUAUUAAAUAUAAAUAAAAAAUCAUGAAAUUUGUUUACCGUAAAAUUAAAACAGUCACAAAUUAUCACUCACAUUGAAUGAAAAUGAUUUUAUUAUCAUCAAUUAAUAUUACAUUUUAAAUUAACUGUUUAUUAUUAUUUUUAAAACUCAUGAGAAAAGAAUUAUUUUCAAAACUUUUAGUCGAGAUGUUAGUAAAUUAAAAUUCAACGAUUCAUAAAAGUUAACCCGUCAGAUCAUAAUUUCAUAGUUAUAAAAAAUGGAUUCCAGAAUAAAUAAGUAAUUAAUUUUUUUGGAUAGGAAAGUACUUAUUAAAAGUAAAUAAAUAAAUAAUAAUAUGAUAAUGUUUUAGUUGAUCAUGAAUAAUAAUUUAAUACUAUAGUAAGGGGUAAGUAUUGAGAACUAAGAAGCAGACUCCCGUUAUAAAUGUUCUCUUCCGUUGCCAAUUUAGGUAGGGUUCGAACUUCUUCACAGCAGGCAGGUCAAGAUGGAUUUCAUCUUCAGAUGAAGUUUCGAAAGUUCAAACUCAACCACGCAUAGACCAUUGGUUGAACCAACGUCGACGAGUAACCAGGCAAAGCGACGGCACGUCCUUUGGGUUAAUAGCCGUUAUAUGCCCGUUUUCACCAAUCAUCAGUCAUUACCAUCGUAACGGAUAGCUUCAAUGAUGGCAUAAUCGAAAAGCCGACGUCCAUUCUUGUCAAUUCACCUCCAGAAAAGGAGAAAAAUAUGCAUACAAGCAUUUCACCCGCAAAACCCUUCACAUUUCCAGCUGUGACCAAAGCACGCCUGCCCCCCUUCACGUGGCCCCAUCCUUUCCAACUAACUGAACCCUGGUUAAAAUCCUAACCCUCUCUUCAGCCCUCCUCCAAAAUCAUUCCUUUUUAGCUCUUCUUUGUUCUUCCACACGGACUCUCACUCUCUGCUUCUUAACUGGCUGAGCUCCGCCGAUCUCUUCAACGUUCACGAUGGGCGCAUUUCACCCACUCAACCUCUUCCUUUUCACACUCUCUUUAGUUGCUAUUACAGCCCAUGCCCACAAUAUUACUGCCAUUCUCGAAGGCUUCCCGGAUUACUCUGUUUACAACAGCUUCCUCUCCCAAACAAAGCUAGCCGAUGAGAUCAACAGCAGAGAAACAAUCACUUGCCUUGUCCUCAGCAAUGGGGCCAUGUCUGCCCUCACGGCCAAACAUCCCCUUUCCGUCAUCAAAAACAUCCUUAGCCUUCACGUUCUUCUAGACUACUAUGACCCGCAAAAGCUCCACCAAAUCUCUAAGGGCACUACCCUCACUACCACUCUUUACCAAACCACCGGAAAUGCCCCUGGAAACCUGGGUUUUGUCAACAUCACCGAUCUCCAAGGUGGAAAAGUCGCCUUCGGCUCCGCCAUUCCCGGGUCCAAACUCGACUCCUCUUACACCAAGUCCGUUAAGCAGAUUCCCUACAACAUCUCUAUCAUUGAGAUCAGCGCUCCGAUUAUUGCUCCGGGGAUUUUAACUGCUCCUGCCCCGUCGGCUUCCGACGUCAACAUCACCGGUUUGCUCGAAAAAGCAGGCUGCAAGACUUUUGCUAGUUUGCUUAUCAGCAGCGGCGUGCUUAAGACUUAUGAGUCCGCGCUUGAUAAAGGUUUGACCAUUUUUGCGCCGUCUGAUGAAGCUUUUAAAGCCGAAGGUGUUCCUGAUCUGAGCAAGCUCACGAAUUCCGAUCAAGUCACGCUUCUACAGUACCACGCCUCGCCAGAGUACAAGCCUAAGGGGACAUUGAAGACGACGAAAGAUCCGCUCAAUACAUUGGCCACAAGCGGUGCUGGAAAGUUCCAUCUGAAAGUUACGACAGCCGGCGACUCUGUCACUCUUCAUACUGGAGUUGGCUCAUCCAGAGUCGCCGAAGCGGUUUUCGACUCACCACCAGUUGUCAUUUUCACCGUCGACAACGUCUUGCUUCCUUCUGAGUUAUUCGGCAAGUCUCCAUCCCCAGCACCUGCCCCGGAGCCAAAUUCUUCUCCUUCACCGACACCAUCUGUGUCUCCAAGUCCAGCUCCAGCAUCCGAAGCACCAUCGCCGCUGGCCGCUUCACCACCAGCUCCACCAACGGAAACUCCCGCCGGAUCACCGGCCGAAGGGCCAGCUGGUUCGUCAGAGAACAGCACCUCGGAUAAUUCUGCUGGUCACGUGAGUGCUCCUCUGUUGCGCACUGUUAUUUUCACUGUCUUUGCCACUGUCGUUUUCUCGGCUCUCUUGUCCUGAACCGUAAUUAUGCCGGUCUGUUAAUUUGUUCUUUUCUUAUUAGUUUUUUUUUUUCUUCGAGUUGUUAUUUAGAGAGGGUUUUUUAUUUUUAAUUUAUUUUGGAUUUUUAAUUAAUGGGGUGUUGGGAAUUGAGAGGGAAGGUGAGACGCAGCUGCGGACUUUGGCAGCAACUGGGUGUGAAGCGGAAUACUGGCACGGUGUUUUCACCUAAACAUUUUUUUUCUUUGUAUUAAUUACAUUUUCCUUAGUGUUUGUUUAUUUAAUCAAUUUUUGCUGUGAGGUUUAAGGAUUAGAUUAGAUUAUUGCAAUUAGCUACUGUGAUGGAAGUGAGAAUUAGGAAUGGGGACUGUUAGCGCACGUGGAUGGCUCCACUUUUCAAUUCUGUAGGGACCAUGGAUUUUAAAAAGAUUUGGGUUUUUAUGUCUGGUCCAUGUCCCCCACGCCCAUAGAAAUAGAGUGGGGUUUUAUUUCUGGCAAAUAUUGUUGUUCCAAAUGCUGCAAUUUCUGGACGUAAAUGGGAGAGUGAGAGCCUUCAAUGUUGUGCCAGUAGGAAAGCUGUGAGUGGUCCUGUUCUGGGCCCGAAACGUUUUUUAUUCUUGCAAGUUUCGGGGUGUGGAGUGGAUACGGGAUUGAAUGAAUUGCACUGCCACGUCCGGAAAGCCAAUUCUCUCUCGUGUUUCCUGACCCAAUUCCGUCAGGCUUUAAACCAUGAAAAAUCUUCCCCGGCACUGAGAAGCCUAGUGGGUUGUUCUAACGCAUUUGACCUUGUCAUAUCCGAAACUUAGUGAAGAAAAAGAAAAAAGUAACGGGUGGGGUGUCAAAACUGGGGUUUCACCGCACAUUCGUCGGGCCGGCUGCAUAAAGAGUACGGUGACAAAACACUCAAAUGGGCUUCCAACGGUAAGCCUUACUGGUGCCGAUGUGAUGGCAAUACGAUGAACACAAUAACCUCACCGCAGUUGCACAAAAUAUGUUCAGUAUGAUUAAUGCCAGUUAAAUCAUUGAGUUGAACAUUAUCUCCAAAGUCAAACGCUUAUCAGGAAGUUAUUGUCCAGGUGAGAAGGCAAGAAUAAUUUUUAAAGACACGUGGCAUGUGCACUGAAAACUUUGAUUGUUUUGGGUGCGAGAGAAAACACACAUAAGUUUAGGAUGAGCAAUGAUGGCACCCACUCCUAUGAUAAAGCUACACAACCUCCAUUGCCAUUUUGUCGGUGAGCUACUAUGAACAACUUCAAAAUGUCGUACAUAAAAGUGUGUAAGUAAUUUCCGAAUUUUGAUUAAUUCAAUUUUUUAGAGUAAUUUGAAAAAAAGAAACAUAGAUAUUGAUAAUUCAAUCAGUUUUAAUUUUAUUAUAAUUAAUAAAAUUAACUGAUUUAAGAUUAUAAACACAGAUAAUUCAUGUUUUUUUUAAUACUUUUAAAUUUUUAUAUUUUUAUUACAUUUAAUCAAGUUUUUAUAUUUUUAUUUUAAAUCAAAUAAUUUUUUAUAUUUUUAUUAUGUUUAAUCAAGUUUUUAUAUUUUUAUUUUAAAUCAAAUAAAUUUUUAUAUUUUUUAUUUUAAAUCAAAUAAAUACUUUUAAUUAAUGAUUGACUUAGUAAAAAUAUUAUUUAUUAUUUUAUGUUACGUAAUGUUGAUGUGGUAUAUUAAAAUAUUAUAAUUAAUUAUGAUGUGACAUGUUAGCAUAUCAUAAUUGAUGAUACAUGACAUGUUAGAACUUAUUUAAUCAAAAAUAAAAGAAUGAGAUUUAAUCAAAUAUAAUAAAAAACAAAAUUUUAUUUAAAUAUUUUUAAAUAAUUUAAAAUUUUAUUUAAACAUUAUGCCAAUCUAAAAAUAUUCGUUAACAAAGGAAAGGCUUUCGUUUCGAUGGGCACAGGCCCAACGACAUAUUCCUUCUAUCGGGCCGACCGGUCCAAAAUCCGAAAGCACAUCAAAUCGGCAAACUCAGCCAACCAAGAAACUAAACUGCUUCACCAAAAUCCUGAACAGGAGGAAGAAAAUCGGCAGCCAUGGCGAGUGAGAUUCUUCCCGUCACCUCUGCGGCCACGAGCUUACUAGAAAAACGACAGCGUUCAAUAUUUGACCUCCCACCCUACUUCUUCGAUUCUUGUCGCUUACUUUCUCCUUCUUUAACUUCAGACUUUGAGUCACUCUCAAUUUCUGAGAACUCUUCUCUAGAAAGCCAAAACAACGCUGACGAUGGGGAAGAAAAGAGUUCCGUGAUAGGCGUCGCUGUGCCUAGAUGGACUUGCAACACCUGCAAGGCUGAGUUUGACUCUCUCCAGGAUCAGCGCUCCCACUUCAAAUCAGACGUUCAUCGUUUCAACGUAAAUAUCUCACCUUUUUGUUUCUUUUCAAUUUGCUAUAUUUUAUUUCAAAAGAAAGAUUUUCUCUUUAAUGUCCGCGAGAUGCUAUUAAUACAUAAUUGCCGAUAGAGAACAAUUAUUCAGUAUUUCGAUUUACUCCUUGAUUAUAGGUAAAAUUAAGCAUUGCUGGAAAGGAUAUUGUAAAGGAAGAAGAUUUUGAUGAGUUGACUACGCAGUCUUUCAAAGACUAUGAGGUUUCGAGUAUUUCAGGAUCUGAGGAUGAAGCUGACAGGGUAGCGUAUCUGCGCAAUUGUGCUCACAGGGGAUCAGUUGAAAAUAUUAGGCAGAAGCUGUUUAUCCGACUUCAAACGGGAGAGAGAAUUUCAGUUUGGAAGUCAUUAAUUAUGAACGAGUUGGAAAGUAUUUCAUAUGAGAAUGAUAAAGAAGAAUGGAAUGAAAAUGGUGGGUGUUUGAGAGAAAAUGAGGUGAUUGAGAGAUUGAAAACUUCGAUUCAAGAGGCUAGAGAUAAUACACGUUUAAGGAUUGUGUUGCUUUCAAGUGGUGGGCACUUUGCUGGCUGUGUCUUUGACGGUAACUCAGUUGUAGCUCACAAAACAUUCCACAGGUCUGUAUUAUAUUUUUUAUCAAGAGUCCUCAGUGCUGUUGUUAUUGUUAGGAUGCUAGUAAUAGAAAGCAAAGCAAGCAUCACUUUGUUUAAUGGAAUAUAGUGUGUUAAUGCGUUAAUCCCUUUUGUUAUCAUGUAGAUAUGUGGUGAGGGCCAAGGCUGGUAAGAAACAGUCAUCAAAAGAUGCAACUGGGAAGGCCGCACAUUCUGCUGGAGCUGCACUCCGGCGGCAUAAUGAACUUGCAUUGAAGAAGGUAUUGACGUAUUGCUUUUGUUAAUGUGCUGUUACCAUUCUGAUUUCCAGUUCUAUCCGUGUAAAAGAUGACCUGACUGUGUCCUACAUGAUGUUUUAAAUACCAAAAUGGUUUUAAUUUAAUAACCUUGUUUAUUUCUGUUAGUUUUAGUUCUAUAGCUAGAGGAAAGACAGAUGUUGCACUAACAUCACAUUAUAUAUAAAUUAUUGCACUUAUCUAGGUAAAUUUUUAUGAGUUUGUCAGACCAACACAAAUCAGCUAAUCCAUCUUUGAUAUAUUUUCCAUCUCCAAAUAAUACAACCUUUUGUUAUCUUUUAUCGCUAAUCUACAUUUUUAAGUUAUUCUUAUCUGCACAAUUUAUGCUUUUCCAUUGCUUGAGAGUAGGGCCAUUUACUUUUUUAUGGUUUUUCUUAAUAUUCCAAGAUUGACUGAUUCUUGUUUUGUAAAUAUUCUAGGAAAUUCAAGAGCUGCUUGCUUCUUGGAAGCCUUAUUUCGAUGCUUCCUCUUGUGUUUUCAUUCAUGCUCCUUCGACCAAUCAUCAUGUGCUUUUUAAUGGGGAUAAACCUUAUUUCAGUCACCAGUUCUGUGCUGUUCGAAAUGUUCCAUUGACUGUUCGUAGGCCCACCUUAAAGGAAGCCAAGCGUAUAUAUAACCAGCUUACGCAUAUUGCUUAUGAAGAGGAGGAGAAGGAAAUUCCACCAGGCACCAAAGAAGAUGUGUUGUUAAGUGGGAGCACCAUCGGUAAUGGCAAGCAAGACUCCUGCAAAGAGGGUUUAGGCUGUAGGGAUGCUUCUGAAAAUCCUUCAAUCAAUGUAAAAUCUGAUGUUAUAUCAAGCGAGAGUGAUAGUGAAGUAGUUUAUACCUCAACACCUUUGCAUGAAGCAGCACAAUCUGGAAAUGCGCAAAAAGUGUUGGAACUCUUAGAGGAGGGUUUAGAUCCUUGUAUUAAAGAUCAAAGAGGGCGAACCCCAUACAUGCUGGCCAACGAGAAGGAAGUCAGGAAUACUUUUAGACGGUUCAUGGCCUCAAACCUCGAUAAGUGGGAUUGGAAUGCUGCUAAAGUACCUAGUGCCCUAACUAAAGAAAUGGAGGAAUCUCAAGCGUCUAAGCAGGUAUUUUUUAUUUCUUUUUCUUGAUUUUGUGGCUGUUCUAAUAGCAUAACAGUAUCAGACUUGUUGGCACAUUAAUUUCCUUAACCUCUGAUGAGGUAUUAUGUAUUGUAAAACACUACAAAUAUUCCAGAAUAUAUGAAGACAGAAUUGUGUGUAAAAUUACAUUCUGGAUUAUGCAGGCUGAGUAUUGAUCAAUGUUUUCUCUCUUUGUAUAAAGAAUAAACAUCUUUAACUAUCAACCAUGAGAUUUUUAAAGUCAAUAGACGCACAUUUUCGUCGCUUCAUGUGUCUUAUGCUGCCAGAUCUAGCUUCGAAUUGUCAAAUUGUGCUACGUGUUUUCUCUCUCCUUCACCCAUACACCCCACCAAAGAAAGAUUUUUGGAAAAUUUUUAUCCAUUUUUCUUAGAAUUUAUUCUUUUGUAAUUAUUUGUCUUCUCAAUUGGGGAGCAUCUCAUCAUUGGAUAACUUGGUUGUUGCUCCUUGGAUAUCUUUAGGUCCUCUAUUUGCUGAUAUCUUUAUGUUCGAUUUCCACUUCUGAUGAACUGUCUUUGUCUCUCCCUAUAUGGUUGCUCAGGCAGAGAAAGAUGCUAAGAGGAAAGCAAGAGCAAAGGAACUAAAGAAAUUGCGUAGAGCCAAAGAAAAGAAAGCUCAGGUAAUAUUCCCCAUUAAUUAAUUCAGAUAUUGAGGAAAAAUAUGUAUCAAACUCCUGCUCCACAUUUCUUCCCCCCUCCCUCUCACCCCCCACCACCCCCCAAAAAAAAAAAGAAAAAGGAAAAUAAAGUAGAAAAAGAAAGAAUAUAGGAUUGUAAGAAGAAAAAAGGCUCCUCUUUUUAAGGCAAUGAAUUCUUGCAUCCAACAUUAAGAAAAAUAAAACAUGCGUUCAUCAGAUGUCGCUUUUUAAUUUGAUGUCUGACUUUGUUUACUGUUUGAGCUGCAUAUUCGGUUGGAAAUGAUUUUGAAUUUGCUGUCUGUGCAUGCAUAAAGGUGAAUGUCUUCCUAUCUGUCUGUGUGCAUCUGUGCAGGAGAAUGGAGGGGGGAAGUGGGACUUACAAUUUUUUAUUUUCUGGAAGUUAUCUUUGAAGAUUUCUAAGUGAAUUGAAUUUGUUGAUGUUUAUGAGGAAAAUUAGUAGUAAUAUAUAUGAAAGGAGUUAGUUUUUCAUUGCUUCUUCUGAGAAUUUUGCAUCAUUAAUUUUAGGAUAUUUCUCUCUUUUUCUUUGAUAUGCUUCCUUUUUUCCUCGUUUCUUCUAGUUUCAUGUUGUUUGUCACAUUUGGUAUUCAACAUAAUUGCUAUGUCAAUAUUCAGGCUGAGGCUGCCCAAUCCCAGAAUACUGCCGCAAUUUCACACAACAGGGCCACCGUACCAUCAGUUGUAAAGGGACAAUCUCAAACUGUUGGUGGAUCAUGGAUCUCUAAAGAGGUGGGAAUAAAUUUUUUGUUAAUCAUGAUAUGGUACAUGAUAGUAGAAUUUUAUCAGUGACAUCUUGGUUUGAAUUUGUUAAUUCGCUCUUCUGACCUUUCAGGUAGCCUCUCUUUUCUGUUAUUUUUUCACUAUAAUCACCUUGUCAAAUGAAGCAUCAUAAGGACUAUUCUAAAUGUUUUCCUUUGUUAUACUCAACCAGGAGGAACUGAAGAGAGCACAGGCUGUUGAGAGGGAAAAGAGAGCUGCUGCUGCUGAGAGGAGGAUAGCUGAAGCAGCAGCUGCUGCUGCCCGCGAUGCUCAAGGCAGUAGCACAACCGUUGGAUCAAGUACUUCACGACCCAAAAGUGGAGAAGCUGGUGAUAUUAACUGCUCCUGUUGUAAUACAUCAUUGGCUGGAAAAGUUCCCUUUCACAGGUAUAAUUACAAGUAUUGCAGCACAUCAUGCAUGCAUGUUCACAGAGAGAUUCUUGAAGAUGGAUAACUUCAGCAGUUGAAGUCAUAACUAUAUAAAUUUUUUAUUCCAACUUAGACAUAGUUGAAAUUUUCUUUAUUUUUUGAUUAUUGUGUCAUAUUUUCCAUAUUCACUUACAAAUGGAGUACGAAGUAUAAUAUAUACAUUGCUAGACAAAAUCUUUUCCUUUUCCCCUCUUUGCUAAUAGAAAAUAUCCUUUUAAUAAUCAAAUUCACAUAGUUUGGCUUCUCUCUGCUUUCGAUGUUAAGAUUAAGGAUCGAAAGAGUGCUGUUACUUGUCUUCAUGAAGUCCCUUUCUUCCUUCAUUUACUUUGCAUAGAAGAGAUCUCUGAUCCCUGUCAAACACAAUUUCCAUUGCUGUUUGUUCCUCCAACUUCUGCUUCUCCUUCAAACCAAUGAAAAUUUUGCACGCAUACCUCAUCUCCAGACCUGUAUCAUCCUCCAGAUGAAUGAAGAGCGUCUGUAGUUUGUACAAGAUUGUCCUACAAGGAAUGGAACUUGAAUAAGAUACGAAGCUCUGAUCUGAAUUUGCCCUACAAAUUUAUCAAGCUUCAACUCACAUAAAAAUGAAAUUAAUCUGAUAUCAGCUCUUCCUCAUGUUGCUGAUCAAGUCGCCUCUUCGUGUAAAUGCCGAUGAAAACUGUAGCCAUCAGGGAUGCACAGAACCCAACAAUGUUGAAUAUUAUCUGUCUGGUCGAAAGAGUUCUCUUGUCUUGUGUUGCCUCUGCAAUGGAGCGUAUCAAAAUCCCACUGCAAAACAGAAUUUCAGUUCCAAGUUACAGGAAGAAAACAGAAGAAAGCAUGGACCUAGCUAGCUGUAGUUUACAGACAUGGAACGGAGGAGGAGCCAACCUGUAGAGUGCAAUAAAAACUUCAGGCACCAUGCCCACCAAUGUCCCCAACAAGUAAGGACUAUAGUUGACAUUGGUAGCCACAACAGCAUAGUUAAAUAUAAUAUAAGGCAACGGGGAGAUUCUAAUCAGGGUGACAGCUUGAAAUUGAUGAAACCAGUUUCCUUCUCCGGCUAGUCUAAGUAUAGAAGCAUGCUUUGGAUGUCUCUCUAACAACCUCUGAAGUACAAAAAAAGUAGAAACAAAAUGAAUACCUGCAGUUAUAUAAAUUAUCCAGGAAGAAGAGGAGAUGGAAAGAAUAGUAAAACUCACAUGAAUUUUCCUGUGAAAGAUAGAACCAAGAAAAUAAGUUAAUGAUACACCAACAGAUACCCCAGCCAUGACUAGCAGGAAUCCAUUUCCAUAGCCAAAGGUCAUCCCAGCCACCCACAUAGAAGGUGUAGAGGGCAGACAUAGGAUUGGGAAUAGAGCUAAUGAAGCAAAGAUUAUAAUUACGAGCUCGAAACUGUUAAACAUAACUGCCUCCCAUUUUAUCACAGGGACAACAACCUGCUGUGUAACCAAAAAACAAUAACGUAUACAUAUAAACAUGAACACGAAACACAGAUAUGCCUCAAGCAGAAGUAAGAUUGAUUAGUUAAUUACCUUUCUCAAUGCAAAUGGUCCGAUAUAUUUGAUUGCAAGUAUUGCCAAAAUUGCCAAAGAGAUGCAAAUCGCGAUCAAGGAUAGCAGCUGCUUCCAUGAUUUGCCAUUGCCAGGGGUUUGAGGUAUGGGUUCUUCCUGCAAGGGCAAUCCAAAUCCAACCCCAGCAUUGCAAGAAUCUUCUUCUAUUAUUUUCACAUACUCCAUGUUAUAAAUUUCCAUUGAACGUCUGUUUAUUCAUAGUAUUGUAGUACCAACCUUGAUCCUUUAUCACCUUUCCACCUCCCAAAGAACCAAGAAUUAUUAAGACACAGUGUUCGGAAGUUUUAAGGAACAUAAUGCUAAAAACGGUAUUAUGCGAGACAUUCGGCCAUGAAUUCUCUGAGAUCUAUUAAGUUUUUGUGGUCAGUUGAAACUGGCUGCCAAAUUUAACAUUAGUCGACAGCUUGUUAGUAUUAAACUUUAUGGUAUCCUGUGUUCAUGUGUAUAGUAUUAAAUUUUUUUUACUUUUAAUCUGAGAAGAUGAUUUUAAAUACAAUUUUAGAAAUUCUUUUUUAUUUUAAAAAUAAUGUACAUCGUUGAAGUUUAUGAUUAGACAAGAAAAUGAUGGCAAAAUAAAAUUAGAAGCCUAAUUAUGUCUGGAAAAUUUUCUAUACCUUGAUGUAAUAUCAUAAUAAUAACCAAAGAAUAAAAAAAUUGAUAGUAACAAUUUGAUUCGGUUACUAUGCUUAAUUUAUUUUUGUGGGGGUAUAAUUUAGUAUUAUGGUAAGAUGAAUAAUGCUAGUAUGAUGAAUCAUAAAUAUGAAAUUUCUUUUGUAAUUAUAAUUGAUAAAAUAAAUAGUGCUAAGUUAAAAAAAAAAAGUUGGCCUACUGCCCGCAGCGCAUCUGAGUCCAACAGGGGUCCGGGGGAGUAAGCCACUAGGUGCGUGGAACCCACAUGGCUCAGCCUUAUCUAAGGCAGAGUCCGGACCGCAGCCCAGAAAUAUCUUUAAGAAACCGCCGUAAUUCUCAAGCCUAUAGGCCCAGAAACCCUGAAUCUUUCGAGGCCAGGGCCUGAAGAAGAAGUUUACACUCACCGGGAAUCAUUGCACAUUUAAAUACGCUUGCACAACCCAAAGAACUCAUCCACUUCCGAUUCUGACUUCUGAGCCUAUUCUUACCAAAAGAAAAUAUGGUGAGUUCUGUUUUGUGCGAUUUUUAUCGAACAUAAAGAAAAAUGGGUGCUAACAGUUAAUCGAUUCUUGUUGUUGCAGUCAGUUACUUUGCACACAAAUCUUGGUGACAUCAAGUGCGAGAUCUUCUGCGACGAGGUCGCUAAAACAGCAGAGGUUAGGACCCUCAUUUCCUACAAAAUUUUCCCAUUUUUUCCCCUUUACAGUGGUUGAAUUUUAUUUAUCUCAAAAAAAAAACACACACACACACAGUAGCUGAAGCUUCUGCUGUUGCAAGCUUUUCAGAAAAGAAACCGAGGAAAUGAUAAAAUAUAGAUUAUGACUAGAAGUUCGCUUUAGGGGAUGGAGUUGGUAUUAAUUGGUGCCCUGAAAGCAAGUUUAGAAGUUAUUUAUUUGGCCCUAAAUUUAUGAAAUUGGAGACAAAUUUUUUGUAGAUUUUGGAGAUUAUGAUUGUGUUAUUUUUCCUGUUAUUUGUUGAAGAGACUUCUUUAACUUUUUACUGUAUCAGCUUUGUAUAAUUCUGUAUAGGUAAAGCUAUACCUAUGGAUAUGGUUUUCACUAGCUUUGAACUU
This 66013-nucleotide long non-coding RNA is filed under the name Theobroma cacao (cacao). Its description in RNAcentral is "long non-coding RNA (TCAC_LNC000630)". The record is from RNAcentral. Lineage: Eukaryota; Viridiplantae; Streptophyta; Magnoliopsida; Malvales; Malvaceae.